This 57228-nucleotide long non-coding RNA is filed under the name Triticum aestivum (bread wheat). RNAcentral describes it as "long non-coding RNA (TAES_LNC014947)". The record is from RNAcentral. Lineage: Eukaryota; Viridiplantae; Streptophyta; Magnoliopsida; Poales; Poaceae.
UUUUUUUUUAGUUUUUGUUUUUUAGAUCCGGUUAACGAACGUUCGUUCGUUAAUCCGUUCUUCGUUUUUCUUUUUCUCGGAUUUUCCGCGAUUAUUUUCUGAUCGCGAUUUCUGAUCCGAUUUUCGUUUUACUAUAACUUUUCGCUCGUUUAUCGGAAUCAGGCAAUUCAAGCGCCUGGAGUUUCGUCUCGAAACCCUCUAUCCGUUUAACCAACUUAAACAAGUUUUUGCCACUGUAAAAAUUGCCUUAGAUCCAGAUUAGUAGAACAAAGUUGUUUUCUUUCGCCGUUUGACUUUCGUUGCUUCGUUCGAUUUGAUUCUUUUUGCAAAUCGGAGUUCUUAAGUUGAACUUUCUGGUUAGUUCUCUUAUUUGACUUUUACCUGUGCAUUAGAUGAGUACUUAUUGUAUGCUUGUUUGUUUGUCUGUGAUAGAAUACCCGGAGUGCGCCGCAUGUUACUUCGAAUCUCUAGGUUUCGCGGAUCAUCAGCAAGGCAAGUAACACUUUGAUCAUACCUCCUACUACCCAGUUUUAUUGCAUUAGAUCAAUCCUUACACAUUGCAUGAUUAGGAUCUAAUUAAAUUGUGGGAUGGGAAGUAGUUGAGGUAGUACCUAUUACCUGUUUAUUAUCAAACCUUUGGGAGUUACUUCUACGUUUGCUUACCAUUGCUAUUCUAUGCUAGUAGACGCGGAUUGGGUGAGUGAUAUCCAUGACAUAUGUGAGUAUUGUUAAUUAAUGGUUUAUCUAAGGUGGCAACUUAAACACACAUCUGGGUGGAUUGAGGUACCUGGGUAUUCCAGGAUUGCCUGUUUUCUUUUGGACCGCCACCCAGGCUCAAAGGGAUCAUGAGAUUAUUCAUGCUAGAAACUUCCGUGUGCAGCCACAAGCUAUUAUGGGCUCUAGCAUAGUUUACUAAGUCGUGCGAACUCUUACAGUGGUAGACUAGCAGAUGUAGGGGAUGUAGGUGCUACGGUCUACCCGAUCGUAAGGUGCUAGCACUUCUGAAAGACUAUGUCUCGGUCAUCCGUUUCUCAAACACCAUGCAGUGCGAGAUAUCCAACGGAGGAGAUCGAGUCUUGUGGGGAAAAGUGCGCAAACCUCUGCAGAGUGUAUAAACUAAUCAUGGUUAGCCGUGUCCCCGGUUAUGGACAUCUUGAGUAUCUAGUACUUGGAUUAUCAUGUGAAUCUUAGCAUGUUACUAUAAAAUUAAGUUUGAUGGGUUUGUUUAAUGAUGUUUAAUUGGGAUUGAGAAUGCUGUCAACCAUUCUCAAUGUUUAACAACCACCAUGAUAGUUAAAUAAAUUUAUUCCUUUGCAGUAGGGAAAAAUUGGCUUUUCGCAAAACUGUAACCAUAGAGCUUUCCACCAGCCGAAUAUGCAUAUAGAAUAGCUGUUUCAUUCCAUUAGUCUCUAUGUGUUACAUUGCCAGCAUAUUCCAUGUGCUGACCCGUUUUCGGGAUGCAACGUUAAUGUUGCAGACUUUUCAUAUGACGAUUAAGGAGUUUUAGGUCGUGGUUCUAUACUCAGUGAUGUCGUUGGAGUUGAUGGACUCACUUAUCUUCCAAGCCUUUCGCUGUUAUCAAUAUUAGAUGGCCUUAAGCCAUAUUUAUUGUAAUAAGUUCUCUUUUGAGACACUCGAUGUAAUAAGUGUGUGAUUGCUACUCUGUUAUAAAUCUUUCAAGUACUGUGUGAUGUCAGCAUUACUGAUCCAGGGAUGACACCGGAGCACAGAGAUUGGACCGUUUGAAGUCUGGUCACUACAGAGAUGGUAUCAGAGCCCAUGCUGACUGUAGGACACGACCACUAAGCUAAAGACGUAGAUCACUAUCUACUCUCUUCUCUUCUAACUCCUCAUCUUUUCUACUCUUUUAGGAUGGCGGAUGCAAGGAACAAGUUCACGCAACCGGAUGAAGAUACACCCUUUGGAUGUCACUUGAAGGAAGUCACUAGAUACCUGAACAUAGGAGUACCAAGCUUCACCGGAACCUACAACUCCACUUUGCCUAAAGAAGAGCGCUGGAUGAUUCAAGUUCAAGUUCCAGGAAGGACGUUCAUGCCAGUCAUUGAGCCCAUAGAGUUUUCUUUUGAUGCACCAACUUGGAGUCUAGGAAAGAGCAUGGCAGCUCACAUCGCCAUGGAACGCACUGGAGAAGUCUACCGCAAUGAUCUCAAGGAUACUAUCUACCAAAUUUGUGGACGCCGAGAUGAGCACUGGGAGAUGAUCAGCACCAGGAAGGAUAGAUCAAUUGCAGCUUUUAUCCAGGAGUUAAACCAACACAUUCGACGACAGGAGAACCAGAUGUGCGCCGACAUGAUAAACCUGAAGAAGGCAAGGACAAGAAUCAAGGAACUGGGCGACUGUCCUUGUUACAAUUGUUUUCGUUGUAAGAUUUUUAAGUCAAAUGCACGAAAGGUGACUUUGUAUGUUUAGUAGUGUCACGAUCCUUUACGCACGAAGACGACUUUUUGUGUGUCAGUGUUUCAGGUCAAAGGCACGGUUGUCAAACUAACAAACGCAUGACCUGUAAUUAUCCAGGGUCACCUUGGUGUCUCUUUGUGUUCCAAAUGCAUCCAUUGACUAUGUUACCAGGACAGGCACGGUCGGGAUGGCGAUGGAGGCAUGCUUGUGUUCUGUGCGGGCCCACGUUCGUCCGUUGAUUGCGGAAACACAACGUUUCGGCGGGCGUCUCCACGUAUUCGGAUGUGAACGCCACAUGGCGCCGCCACGGAAACCCAAGGGACCGACGGACGUCUCCUCCGGUGACACCGGUCUGGCUCAUCGCCAGAGGCCAGGCUCCGGCUAUUUAAGGCGGACGGACGGCGUCUCGAAACCCUAGCCACACCCUCCUCUUUCUUGGACUGUCCAGAUCCACACCACAGAUAGCGGCGCUCGUAGGCGGCGCGAUCCUAGCAAUGGAGACGGAGAUGGAGGUCUACUCUUGUGCCCCGAACACCAAGAGGGCGAGGCUCGCGCGACCGGCGACGCCUUCCUCUGGUGGUUUGGCCGUAGUGGCUAGAAGCGGCGAGGGUGCCCCUACCGGAUUCGAGGAUCAAGAAGAUCAGUCUGGUCCCGACCGCAUCAGCGACCUACCGGAUGGUGUCCUCGGUGAGGUCAUAUCCCGUCUGUCCACUAAGGAAGGUGCUCGCACUCAAAUCCUCGCACGUCAGUGGCGCCCUGUUUGGCGCGCCGCUCCUCUGAAUCUGGACUGCCGUGAGAUCCUUGUCCCACGUCUUUUUAACCCUCUAGAUCAAGUACAUUUCGAGUUGGUCACCGCGAACUCCGCCACACCGGAGGAACUCGUCCGCGUAACAUACACUGGAACUUUUUUUUAGAGGAGAACAUGUCGGUGAAGAUAAUUCCUAUGAUGAUUCGUACCUUCCAGAGGCCAUCCUCUCCGGGCGUCAGAGUGCAGUUUGCCGCCUCUGCAUUCCGGCAUCCUACCUCGACUGCGGGCACUCCACGGUCGACGACUGGCUUUGAUCCCCAAGACUGAACAAUCUCCAGGUGCUCGAGUUUUACUACCUGUUCCCACCAUGCUUGAGACAACAUGACAUAGGGCCAUUCUCAUGCCCUUCGCUCAUGCCAUCACCACCAGCAUUAAACCCUCAGAUUUCCUCCUCUCUCCAAACCAUCGCCUUUGCUCUUUGCAAGUUACCAGACAAUUAUGUCCGGGUACUUAAACUACCACUGCUCAGGAGACUCUCGCUAGUAGAUGUUGAUGUAUCAGACGUCUCAUUACAAAGCAUCAUCAGCUCUACUUCUCCUACACUUGAGUCUCUGCUGCUUGUUCGGACAGUCAGGCACCAUUCCAUUAGAAUAAACUCACCUAACCUUAUAAGCAUCGGCAUUUCUGGUUACUACGGUAAAAUUGUUAUAGAAGAUGCCUCGUCACUUCAAUGGUUGCUUUGUGAUGGUGAUUGCAAAAAGUUGCGGGUAGUUAUCACCUCUGCACCUAAACUGCAGGUCAUGGGCAAAUUAUCUAAUAUUUUCUGUGAAUCCGGCAUCACAAAUGACCGUAUAAUUAUUCAGGUACUGACUUUCAACAAUACUUUCACCUCCAUUCAUUGGUACGAACAAGUUCCAUGCAAUUCAACCUUUACUCUACUAAUAUUAUGUUUUACUCUACAUGAAGUGUUUGCCGACAGUCAGCACAUCCACAGUGGUUCAUUCUAUCAAGACGUUGUCUAUCAGCAUGGAUUAUGACCUGCACGCAGUUUUUUCCUUGGUGGAACACUUCCGAAGCUUGGAAAACUUGUAUAUCGAGGUGAUGCUUCUCACACAGAUUGUCAAACACAUACCAUGCAGGGUGCAGAACUCCAUUCAACAAAAGGAAAACUUGUAUGUAAUGGACAAAGGUGUAUAUAGUCAUGGACGAGUAUUAGGACAAAACUAAAAAGAAAGAUUUUAUUACAAUAGAGGUUAUAGACUUAUUCCUUCCAGCAGAAUCACUCUUUAUCGAGCUUAACCAUUUCAAAUAUUCAUGUUUAUUCAGGAAAUAGCCCCUAAUGAAGAAAGUCUUGCGAAUGACUGUUCUUGCAAGCACCAUCAUGACGUUCGUUUGAAGUCACCGACGCUGGAAAGCUAUGUUCAAUGUGACAAAAGCAUUUGAUUUGCAACAUUCUUUAUUCUCAAUGCAGCACAGCUGCAGACUAUGAGGAUCAAGUUUCUUCUUCAGGAACACUUCACGGAAGAAUUCUACAAACAGCAACAAGACGUGCUUCAGUGGGACAAAAAGGCUUCUAAACAUGCUUGCGUUAGGUUGUUGCCAAGUUGCAACCACGGGAACUUGGAUCUAAGGCACGCAUGAGCACCUGCAUUUAAAGGAUCCAUUCAUUUGUAAGUGCUGAAAACAGUGCUGGAGUUAGAUGUUCCCGCCACUUUCUGGUUUGGAAUUUACGUAGGUGUGCUGAAACAAUGCCCGUACCUUUUUGCUCAAUAUGUAACCUUACCAACAACGAACUCGGUAUUUCGGUAGAUGGCUAAACGGUCUUUUGCUCAUGCCGUACAUUUCAUUAACUAAAAGGGCUUCAAGUCUCUGCAUCCACGGCUAUGUACAUUUGUGACUUUCUAUGUUUCAGUGAUAAGGGUCACAGGAAAGGGCGUCAAAUCUGCAAAGGCAUCGUGUGGUAUUAUAUAUAGUCAUGCUCGCUUGUACUAGCGUUUGUGUUCCGAAUGAUUCAGUGAACCACGGUUUGUCAGCAAACACACAGACGAUAAUGACUUCGUAGAAAAGUGAUUCGAGACGCACUGUUCUACCUGUCACACAGGCACGACCAUGGCAAACGCACAGUUUGCCACGAACCACACAACGGCCGUGAAGUGAUACGACGGGACACACGCACGCCCAUGAUUCCACGUGCUUUAGUAGCACGUAAAGACAUAAUUCUUUCCCAAGAAAUGGUGGAAACCUAUUGCCAAGCACUAUAUGCAUUUGUAAAACAGAAACGCAAACACAACCGUGACCCGUUGUGUUUGAAAUCGUUGCAUCACAAAAGCAUCGCAAGCACGGUUAUGCACACGAGGUACGGUUAGGCACAGUGCAGGGACAUAAUUGCAGAUGCCACCGCUCUUGCGCAUUUUUUUAAACCACGGUCUUGCAAUCUUUCUGUUUUAGUGUUUCAGUAAUUAGGGUCACAGCCACGGGCGUCGAAUCCACAAAGGCAUCGUGUGUUAUUAAAUAGAGUCAUGUUCACUUAUGUUUGUGUUCCGAAUGAUUCAGUCGACUCGUUCAGACGGAGAAGCACAGACGAGCAGCCCAUGAAGGCAUACUUUAAUAUUAGGCAGGGUCACAAUCAUGCGUUUAUUACGCAUGGUCGAUGGUAUUACACAGAGUCAUGCUCGCCUGCGAGACUCGAUCAGACGAAGAUGCACGGGCGUCUAGCCCACGGAACUGAACCUUUGUCUUACGCACAGCCACGCGCGUUCACUCUAUGAAGCACAGAAUUGCCUAUAUGAGAGACACUGAUUUUAAAAGCUUAUUUCUUUGUAUUUAAAAGCACAGACAUGAAGUCCAUAGAGACACGAUUCUUUCUUGAUAAAGUCUCUGCAGCCACGGUUAUGUGUGUUUGUGACUUUCUGUAUUUUAGUGAUAAGGGUUGUAGACACGGGCAUCAAAUCCACAAAGGCAUCACAUGGUAUUAUAUAGAGUCAUGUUCGCUUGUGUCUAUUUUCCGAAUGAUUCCGUCGACUCGUUUAGACGGAGAGGCACGAACGAGAAGCCCAUGGAGGCAUACUUGAGUAUUUGGCAGAGUCACAUUCGUGCGCUUACUACAGAAACAUAACAGAAUUGGAUUCAGAUGUGAACCCUCACUGUUUACUUUGUGAGGCAAUCAAUGACCGAUCCAAGAGACACUGUCCUUAAAAGCACGGGCAAGAACUCUCUGCAACCACGGUUCUGUACCAAAGAGCCACUGCCAAACGCAUGAAAGUCAUGCAACGAGGGCCACACAUCUAGUACUAGAAAAAGCACUUUAUCAGCUGGUGUUGCUCCUUUUCUACACACACAGUAGUGUGGCUGUGAAAGGCACGUUAUACAAGCAGAGAACGAAAAUCACAAUGCCAGGACAAGGUCAAAAGCAUGGUUGUGAGUCUGCAGUGUCAUGGCUAGAAUCCUCGAGACACAUUUCGGUGUGGCCUGUUGAGUAGAAACUCGGUUGUGCGGUAACCAGAAGCACUACAUAACGCCCCGCAAAAAAGGUUUGGUUCACCGUUGUGGUGGCUCUAUAUGCUUUCAGCUCUUUUCAUCUCGCCUGCUGAGUAAAAAAAUACCUAAACAAGCAAAAUAUGUUAUGCUUACAUUUUCUUUGUUUCUACAACUGCACCAAAUAAACUUACAAGCUGUUUUUUGUAACCACGGUACGAGGACCAGAAACAGUGCAAGGCACCCAUCAGUGCAAGGCACCCAUCACCAUAUAUAAGACAUGCAACAUGCAAGUCAACCAUCAUGCGGCUCUAUCUGCAACACAGGCACAGUUGUACAUCCAUUGUGUGCAUGACAGGUACAUAUAUAAGACAGGCACCAUCGUACAUACAACACAGCACGGUUACACAUGCAGCAUUUUAAAUCUACUUUAUGUCUCUUAACCUUGGUGCCAAAGCAUUUUACGGUCCUUCGGCCAUACAAAGCCGCAAAACCACACAUCUCCUUCAUGACUGCACGCAACACAAAAACAAACAAGCCUACACACGGUGCACAGACUACAAUGGUAGUCUGAUAAAGUUUACAUAAAACCCAAGCUCAAAAGAAUGCAACAACAAAUAACUCCAUACAUCUGGACAACUAACACAAGGCCUGAUUUCAGCAUCCACACCUGAACGAAACCGUCAAAUCCAGGUAUUCAAGACUCCUCUUUCUUAAAUUCGGACGUGCGUGGCUGCAACUUGAUGAUAAUCUAAGACGUGCACAUUUAGAAGCCCUUCUAUGCCACUCCAGAACCCUUUGUUGCUUUUCGUAAAAUACUCCCAUGAACUCUGCGGGAGGGGAGGUAAACUUAAUGGUCAUGGUAUCCAGAUCCUUUGCACUAAGAACAAAGAACAUCGCAAAGUCAGCGUAACUCCCAAAGCAAACAUAAUCUUCCAGCAAUACUAUCUUCAGACAAACGUCGUGAUGUUUGAGAAACUGCCGGUACUUACGACGGCAUUUGUUUUUUUCACCACGAGAAAUCAACAUAAAUGAUAGGUUGAAAAUACUUAACGUCUAUAAAAAGAGAUACAGACCAUCAAAAAACCAAACGCAACAAUUAAUUCUACCACUUCCGUAACAAUAAGUUAGACAUAGACUUGUCUAUAUAUGGAUGUAUACAACAAUAAAUCAUGUGUAGGUACGGGAGCAUUAAUUUCAGUCAAAAUAAAGACAAGCAUUUCAAAAAGGAACGGGUACUACAGAAUGCAAAUUUCUGAAGAUCAUCACCUCGACAAACAAGUUCUCCAGUUUUGGAAAGCAUUGCAGCAAAUCAACGACAAUGUCCACCUUAUAAUCAAUGUAUAUAAGCAAGGUCUUGACAGAUUGACGCAUUGUUGUUAGACUGACUGCCCUCAAACCCUUGAUGAAAAUUAAUAGAAGAUGGAUCACAAAACUAAUAGCAUAAAGGUUGGAUGAAAUAAAACUUGUUUCCUCACAAAUAAAGUUAAGCUGGAAGUAUCACAAAAACUCAAUACCUCAAGACACGUCAGACGACAUGGAUACGGUUCAGAUGCAGAGACAGCGGUUACCUCCAAGUCCUGACUCUGCAUGAAGAAUACAACAAAGACCAUCAAAUUAAUAAAACAAACAUCAGAACAAGUACAGCUCUGUUCCAGUAUUAAGGAAAGUCAGUACCUCAAGACACUUCGAGGGAGACACAAACACGAAUUCACCCAACGUCUCCAGUUUAGGUGCAGAGACAAUGGUUAUCGAACAGUCGUCAACCGGACAAUCAACAAUCAACCGUCGAAGCGAAGGGGCAUCCUCAACAAUGAGUUCCCCGUGUGGACAACAAAUGCCAAUGCUAACAAGGUUAGACGUGUUUAUUGUGACACGACGACCUCCUCUAUUGCAAACAAGUAGGAGAAACUCAAGUGCAGGGCAACUAGAGUGGAUUAUGCUUUGCAGGGACGCGUCUGAUAUAUCAACAGCCACAAGCGAGAGUCUUUUCACCAGUGGUAGCUUAAGCGUCCCAACGUAAUUGUCCGCUAUUUGGCAAAGAGCAAAGCCGAGGGUGUGGAGAGAGGAGGAAAACCGAAACACGGACUCCGGUGCCGAGGGCGUAGUUGAAGUGCAUAGAUCCAAUAGAGUUACCUCUUGUGUCAGAAAUUCUGGGAAGAGGUAAUAGAACUCAAGAACCUGGAUAUUUUUCAAAUUCCAGGAUCGGAGCCUGGCAUCAACGAUGGAGGGCCUGCACUGUAGGUAGCAUGCCGGAAUAGAGAGGUGACUAACCAAGCCAGCAUGGCUAGACAAAAUGGAUUCCAGAAGACUGACAACAGGAUUUCGAUAGAGCCGCGUUCCGAAAUAGCAUUUGCGAACGGGCUCCUUGGUGAAGGCGCACAGAUGAGAUAUGGUCUCGAUAUGAACUUUUUCACCAUCAUUAAAAAGACGAGAGUCAGAGAUCUCGCGGCAGUCAAGAUUCAGAGGAGCGAUGGGCCAUAAAGGACGCCAGCGACAUGCGAGGAUUCGAGUACGGAUGCCAUCCUUGAUGGGAAGACGAGAGAUGACCUCACCUACGACGCCAUCGGCGAGAUCGCUGAUGCGGUCCGCACGACAUCCCUCUUCUUCCUCAUCGGAUCGGGAGGGAGCACGGUCGCCGCUUCCAUCCCCUCCGACGACCAGCACACCACCAGAAAGCGGCAUCGCCGGUGGCGCCACUCUCGACCUCUUGAUGCUACGAGCAGCGCUUUCCAUCUCCACCUUCGUUGCUGGGGUGGCGCCGCCCACGACCAGUGCUCACCGAGGAGGAUUUGUAGAAAUGGAUUAUAGCCUGUCAAUCCACGCGAGACGCCUUAAAUACCCACGACGGGGAGCGGAGGGGUCCAGAUUAAUUACUUCUUCUAUUUUCCUUUCUGACAGGGGGGGCCGGGUUAAGUACUACUCGUAGCAACUCAAUGGUAGCUGACUGCUUGAAACAUUAAAUAGAACCACCGCUUUCAAGGUACAAGAUGCACUGUUGCACACGCAAACUAGGCACGGGGCAUGCCCGUUCGUGUAUUAAUUAUUUACGGCACACACUCAAUAGAAGAAUCUGUUUGACGCCGGAAGCACGGCUCUACAGUCAUCUUGCCUCUACGAGCAGCAAAAUUUUCCACGGACACGUUCACAUUUAAGUCAAUAGAAGAUUCAAGGUCGUGCCUCUGCUUUGCAAAUGAUUCUACUGAAACGCUCCUGUCACGGCUUGUCACGUACCAGACACACGGUACGGCUUGCCAUUGUCACGUACCAGACACACGGUCCUGCCUUUGGCAUUGUGACGCACUGUUCUACGUGCCACACAGGCAUGUACAACAGUUCGUGUCUCUUUGUGUUCUAGAUGACUCCAUUGAAUCUAACACCAGGAGAGGCGCGGUAUGGAGGCCCAGAGAGGCAUGCUUGCAUUUUACGCGGGAUCACAAUUAUCACAGGCACGGGCAUGAAGCGUGUAGAGGCAUGGUCUGUGGUAUUACAUAGUCACGCUAACCUUAGUCUUACGCACAGCCAUGGGCAUUUACUCCGUGAGGCACGGAAUGGGCUAUACGAGAGACCCUGUUUUUAAAAGCGUAUUUCCUUGUACAGCCAUAAGCACGUGCAUACAGCAUAGAGGCACGGGCGUUUACUCUGUGUUUUAGUGUCAAGGGUCACAAGCACAGGCAUACAGCCCUCAAAGGUCUUCUAAUUACAUAGAGUCACGCACAGAGGUUUUCUAAUUGUAUUCACAAUGAGUCGGUGGAUAGGCAUGGUUUAUUAUUACCUGGAGUCACGAUUGUGCGAUUAUUACGGAAACCUAAUAGAAUCGGAUGAUUGUCCGUGUUACAAUUGUUUUCUUUGUAAGAUUUUAACUCAAAUGCAUGAACCGUCAAGUGUGUCAGUGUUUCAAGUCAGAGGUCACCUUCGUGUCUCUUUGUGCUCCAAAUGCAUCAGUUGAUCUAUAACCAGGAGUGGCAAGGUAAAGCUCCUCAGGGAGGCAUGCUUGUGUUUUACGUGGAGUCACAUUCGUGCGUUAAUUGUGGAAACCCAACGUGCGUGUUACAAUUAAGUCACUAGAAGAUUCAAGGCCGUGCCUCUGCUUUGCAGAUGAUUCUGCUAAAACGCAGACAAAACCAAGUGAAUGAAGUGAUGGUAGAACCACGGCUUUUCAAGAACGAGACACACAGUCCUGCCUUCGGCAUUGUAAAGCACUGCUCUACAUGCCACACACAGGCACGGUCAUGAUUCCACGUGCCUUAGUAGCAACAGCAAACGCCAUGAACCUACUGCCAGGCAAUAUAUCCAUUUGUAAAACAGAAACACAACCACAACCGUGACCCGUUGUGUUUGAAAUCUUUGCAUCACAGAAGCACCGCGUGAAGGCACAUGAGGCACGGUUGGACACGCAUCGCAAGCAUGGUUAUUUGAACUACUUACAGUCAUGCAUUCAUAAUAGAAGAACAUGCAUUAGAACAGGUGAGGCACAGUUGCCAUGAAAGCCACGGUUAUGCAGCCCUAGAAGCACGACCGAGAUUCUGUGCUUAAAAAUGUUUCCGUGCCAUAACGGCGGGCGUGACCAUGCAACCGUGAGAGUCACGGUUGAACACUCACCGGUGGCAUGGUCGUGGCUGCCUGUGCCCUUAGGUUAAUUUUAUCUCUCUAUCACGCAGCAGAGAAGCAUGCUUGUAUGCUUACAACAUCCAUGUUUAGAAACCGACGCGGCUGCGGAAAAUAACAAGGAAACCUGUGCCUCUAAUAUUUUCGUCCGCCGAGUAAAAAAUACAUAAAGAAGCAAAAGGCGUUCUUAUUUAAAUUGGUUUUGUUUCUAUAACUGCAGCAAAUUAACUUACAACCCAUUCUUAUAACCACUGCACAAGAAAAUAAACAAUCCCCACCAAUUUCUUGCUAUUUCAUCGCUCCACGUGCAGCCUUGUUUUUGAAUGUUCAACAAUCCAUUCUUCCUUCUCGACCCUUGUGCAAACCCACCCUUCUGCGUAGCUAUUCAACCUAUUUACCUGUAAAAUUAAUAUUCAUACAUAAAAAACAAAGCGAAAGAUUGCGGUCAUCACUAUUUUUUGCUCACGUCCUGUUUAAGCUGCAUUAUUACUGUAACAUCCCAAAUUUUCAAUUUGGAAUGUUAUACAUUAGAUCAUCAAUGCAUAUCAUAUAUUACUUGGGGAGCCCAGCCGAAGCCAGCCCAGCCCCGCGCCGCGAACCCUAGCGCGCCGCCCGCCUGCCGCCGCCGCCGCCGCCAGCGCCGCACUCCACCGCCUGCCGUCGCCGGAGCCGUUGUGCCNNNNNNNNNNNNNNNNNNNNNNNNNNNNNNNNNNNNNNNNNNNNNNNNNNNNNNNNNNNNNNNNNNNNNNNNNNNNNNNNNNNNNNNNNNNNNNNNNNNNNNNNNNNNNNNNNNNNNNNNNNNNNNNNNNNNNNNNNNNNNNNNNNNNNNNNNNNNNNNNNNNNNNNNNNNNNNNNNNNNNNNNNNNNNNNNNNNNNNNNNNNNNNNNNNNNNNNNNNNNNNNNNNNNNNNNNNNNNNNNNNNNNNNNNNNNNNNNNNNNNNNNNNNNNNNNNNNNNNNNNNNNNNNNNNNNNNNNNNNNNNNNNNNNNNNNNNNNNNNNNNNNNNNNNNNNNNNNNNNNNNNNNNNNNNNNNNNNNNNNNNNNNNNNNNNNNNNNNNNNNNNNNNNNNNNNNNNNNNNNNNNNNNNNNNNNNNNNNNNNNNNNNNNNNNNNNNNNNNNNNNNNNNNNNNNNNNNNNNNNNNNNNNNNNNNNNNNNNNNNNNNNNNNNCGAGGUUCGCCUCGUAACCCGUGCCACCGGUUUUAAAAAAAAAACAAUCGGUUUUCCGUCGGUUUUUGUCAGUUUUUUUUUAGUUUUCGUUUUUUUAGAUCCGGUUAGCGAACGUUCGUUCGUUAAUCUGUUCGUCGUUUUUAUUUUUCUCGGAUUUUCCGCGACUAUUUUCUGAUCGCGAUUUCUGAUCCGAUUUUCGUUUUAGUAUAACUUUUCGCUCGUUUAUCGGAAUCAUGCGAUUCAAUCGCCUGGAGUUUCGUCUCGAAACCCUCUAUCCGUUUAACCAACUUAAACAAGUUUUUGCCACAGUAAAAAUUGCCUUAGAUCCAGAUUAGUAGAACAAAGUUGUUUUCUUUCGCCGUUUGACUUUCGUUGCUUCGUUCGAUUUGAUUCUUUUUGCAAACCGGAGUUCUUAAGUUGAACUUUCUGGUUAGUUCUCUUAUUUGACUUUUAGCUAUGCAUUACAUGAGUACUUAUUGUAUGCUUGUUUGUUUUUGUGCGAUAGAAUACCAGGAGUGCGCCGCGUGUUACUUCGAAUCUCUAGGUUUCGCGGAUCAUCAGCAAGGCAAGUAGCACUUUGAUCAUACCUCCUACUGCCCAGUUUUAUUGCAUUAGAUCAAUCCUUACACAUUGCAUGAUUAGGAUCUAAUUAAAUUGUGGGGUGGGAAGUAGUUGAGGUAGUACCUAUUACCUGUUUAUUAUCAAACCUUUGGGAGUUACUUCUACGUUUGCUUACCAUUGCUAUGUUAUGCUAGUAGACGCGGAUUGGGUGAGUGAUAUCCAUGACAGAUGUGAGUAUUGUUAAUUAAUGGUUUAUCUAAGGUGGCAACUUAAACACACAUCUGGGUGGAUUGAGGUACCUGGAUAUUCCAGGAUUGCCUGUUUUCUUUUGGACCGCCACCCAGGCUCAAAGGGAUCAUGAGAUUAUUCAUGCUAGAAACUUCCGUGUGCAGCCACAAGCUAUUAUGGGCUCUAGCAUAGUUGACUAAGUUGUGUGAACUCUUACAGUGGUAGACUAGUAGAUGUAGGGGAUGUAGGUGGUACGGUCUACCCGAUCGUAAGGUGCUAGCACUUCUGAAAGACUAUGUCUCGGUCAUCCGUUUCUCAAACACCAUGCAGUGCGAGAUAUCCAGCGGAGGAGAUCGAGUCUUGUGGGGAAAAGUGCGCAAACCUCUGCAGAGUGUAUAAACUAAUCAUGGUUAGACGUGUCCCCGGUUAUGGACAUAUUGAGUAUAUAGUACUUGCAUUAUCAUGUGAAUCUCAGCAUGUUACUAUAAAAUUAAGUUUGAUGGGUUUGUUUAAUGAUGUUUAAUUGGGAUUGAGAAUGCUGUCAACCAUUCUCAAUGUUUAACAACCACCAUGAUAGUUAAAUAAAUUUAUUCCUUUGUAGUAGGGAAAAAUUGGCUUUUCGCAAAACUGUAACCAUAGAGCUUUCCACCAGCCAAAUAUGCAUAUAGAAUAGUUGUUUCAUUCCAUUAGUCUCUAUGUGUUACAUUGCCAGCAUAUUCCAUGUGCUGACCCGUUUUCGGGCUGCAACGUUAAUGUUGCAGACUUUUCAGACGACGAUUAAGGAGUUUUAGGUCGUGGUUCUAUACUCAGUGAUGUCGUUGGAGUUGAUGGACUCACUUAUCUUCCAAGCCUUCCACUGUUAUCGAUAUUAGAUGGCCUUAAGCCAUAUUUAUUGUAAUAAGUUCUCUUUUGAGACACUCAAUGUAAUAAGUGUGUGAUUGCUACUCUGUUAUAAAUCCUUCAAGUACUGUGUGAUGUCAGCAUUACUGAUCCAGGGAUGACACCGGAGCACAGAGAUUGGACCGUUUGAGGUCUGGUCGCUACAAUUACCUUUUAAUUUUUCUAUUCAUACUGUUCUCCGGUACCAAAAAGUCUCCUCUCAGACCUUUCGUUUCUGAAAAUGGACUGCGCAGAUUCCGUGCCUUGUCCCGGGCUUCCCUGCAUGCAUUCUGUGUGCCUAGCUUGCGUGAUGUUCGAUUCUGGCGUAGAUGCGAGACUUUGGAAAAUGCUCCCUGCUGUCAGUGGGGUCGUUGGAAUUGCUGGCGUCUGACGUCUUCCUCCUGGGCUUGGAGUGCAUUGUCCUGAGCCAUUUGAUGUCCUCGAUGGUGUUGUCGGUGUUGUCGUCCAUUUCGUUGACCUUUCCCUCUUCUCCUACUGCGAUUUCCUCUUUUCCUCUUCAAUCCUCAUCCUCUCCUGCACUUCUGGGUUAUUCGGAUAGUUUGUUUUGUUGUGACCCUUUUCUCGACAACGGCCGCACUUGGUUGCGGCUUUGUAGCAUUUUCCUUUCUUCUCAGAACCAGUUUGAUUCGAUCUCCUUUUUUCGUACCCUUUGAGCCACUCAUGGGAGGGUUCUUGAGAGUUUCAACAAGAAUGCCUGUAUCUGGUUCCUCGGCAAGUGCCGCCAUGACUUUUAUUUUCAUAUCUACCGUACACUCACGCAACACACGGUAUGCCUUCACUUUUCUGCAUGCAUUUGAGCAGAUAUCCGACAACUCAGCAUAAGCGAGGCCGAAUCUCAUAGUUUCAUCGUCUUGUAUGGUCAUGCUAUCACCUUGACUUGUAGACAGAACUUUCACACUCUCUGAUAGAUUCCUGGUCCAUUUGGGGAUGACAAAGGAUUUUGGAAGUUGAUCGAUCAUGCCUGUUUGGUCCAUCACCUUAAGCACAUGGCAGCACUGAGUGCCAUCCCUACUCAUUUUCUUGCAGCUACAACUGUAUAUUUCUUUUUGCUCAUCCACAUCUACCCUGAACUCAGACCUGUCAAAUUCCUCGCCGGGAUAAGGUCUCCACACUUUAUCUCCAGGAUCAAUAAUCUUUUUUAAAAAAUACUGCCUUCCCUUUGCCAGAUCAGAGCACUUGAAGUAAGUCCGGUUCCGUAGCUCCAGCUGGAAUUUCCUGAAAAUUUCAUUUGUGUAUACUUGACUUGCUUGUCUUUCAAUCGGAAAACCCGUCUCUAGUGAUGGCGCCUUCUCUUCUGUUCGGUAUCUUUUCUUGUCAAGCGUGGCGAGGCAAUUUUGCUGAAUCAUGUGAUACGCAUCAACAAACCUUUUUAUAGUGUCCUUGUGGUCGACGUAAUUCUUCCACAUCGAAUUCGUGCUCUCACUGCGAGUGGUUGUUGACGAGAAAGGAUAGAAAUAGUCCUUGAAGUAGGCCGGCACCCAAAAAUUUCGGAGUUCCCAUAGCGUGUUCAGAUGUUUGUUGCCUUCCGCCUUGUGCAGAGAAAUUGUUGCUUUCCAGGCAUGCUCAAACUCGUCUUGAUCUAGUGAGUUUUUGACGAUUCAAAAUAUAUCAUCAGACAUCCCUGGGUGCUGCGCAAACACUGCUGCAUUAUUUUCCUUCGGGUUCUUCCUAAUAUGCCACCAGCAGAACCUGUGCCUCGUCCUCAGAAGAGCUUCCUUUAUUGCAGUCUUCAUCACCUGGUCCUGGUCUGUAAUUAUGUAUUUCGGCUCUUUACCUCCCAUUGCCUCGACAAACAUGCUUAGGAGCCACUUGAAUGACCCUAUUUUCUCAUCCUUCAAAAGGCCUACUCCAAAUAGGACGGUCGACCCGUGGUUGUCGACACCUAUAAUUGGUGCAAAUGGCAAGCCAUAUAUAUUCGUCGAGAAUGUGGUGUCAAAAGACACGAAAUCUCCAUAUAGAUCAUAAUUCAUCUUACACAAGGAGUCUGUCCAGAACAGGAUGUGCACUACAUUGUUCUCUCUCUCUUCCACAUGGUGGAAUCCCGGCCUCCGCCUCUACAUAUCAGCAAACAGUUUCAUGGUGUCUGCGAUAUCAGUGCCGCGCUCUCCAGCCCUGUCCCGGCAUGCAAUGUUGCUUAUGUCAAUCGUGUCGAACAUAAUUUCUCGCCUCGAUUUCCCCAUGGCAGCAAAAAUCUGCAUAACCUUCCUUGGUUCUAACCUCGCCUUCUGCAUCACUUGUAUAAAGAAUUUCUCCUGAGGUGUCAUCUUCUUAUAGCAUCUCAUGAACUUCGGCAUCCAAUCAGAUGGGUGAAGCUCGUGGUUGUGCUCUAGACGCACGUUCUUCAGAUACCAUUUCCUCCUAUCUGUAUCCCUCUUCGCUGUUAUUUGGACUGGGCAGCUUGUCCGGAUCAAGCAGUUUCUCCUUCUCUCCUUAACAUGUCUCUCAGUUGUUUUAUUCUGCCCUUCCUUGGUGCACUGAAAAACCUGCUUGUCAAGCUGCUGAUCGUAUGUCGAUCAUCUGCUCGUUGAUCGCUUGGCAGCAAACCCAACCUUUCUAGCAUAUCUGCAGAAAAAGAAAAAGCACUCAUCCAAUGAUCCGAAUACCAUACCACCUUCUGGUUCGACCGCUUCAGUGACCUCCUGAAUCAUUGGGUAUAUGAAAUCUUUAAACAUGUCAUCCAUUUCUUUCUCUACAAUGGUCGGUGGCGCCAUGAUGAUUCUGUCUACCGUGUCUUCGUUCGUCUGGUCGCAUUCACUUCUAACGACAUCAAUCUCAUCACCAGCCACAGGUCCACUUACAGUGGAGCUACUGCUCUGUUGUUUGUCACGCGUAGCAGAAUUGUUUUUGCAUGCCACGGCCAAAUCCAUAAAUGAGUCUGCCUCUCCAAUGUUGGAUUGUGCAAUGCUACUCCAUGUUUCUCCAGCACUCGAGCAACCAAGGGACUGUGCUGCUUCUACCAUGCAAUUCGUACUGGCGUUGUACGCUACUUGCUGCUGUGAACGUUGCGUUUCCUUCGAAAUGGAUGGAGAACUAUGACAUUUCUUCCCCUCAUCUGCUAUCCCCUCCGCCAAAUCCUGAACACAUGGCAAGAAACAAAAUUAGAUAUCCAGAGCAGCAUAUGCAUUAUUUUAAUUUCUAAACAAAAGAUUUAUAUGACUCAUCAGGGCUCAUAUUGUAUACCAAAACCAGACCCGUGCCUCUUCACCGAGUAUAAGCAGUACACCAGAGGCACUGUUCACAUCACGAAUGUGACCAUGCUAAACACACAUCUGCACAAAGAGGCACAGAUGUGCUUCUGUUUACACCAUACAACCGGAGACGCACAACAACAACCUAUAUAAAAUAACAACUGCGCAUAUAGCCGUACAAGACAGACAGCCGUCCUCCUGUUUUCCAUAUUACCCUGUUCUCCCAUAAAACUGUUUGUGUGUUGAAUUGAAAAAGCAUAGUUCCGACAUCACCUUUGUUUUCCCAUGCCUCUCUUGUCCAUCAAAUUUUGGCGACAACCUCCGUGCAUUGGUGAUUUCGCUGACGAUUUUUAAUGCCAUCAGAGAUCCUUUGGAAGGACCCCUCAUGUUGAACGCCACAGGUGAUGCUUUCAAAGGACCUUGCCUUAUGUUUUCAUCAAUUCGUGGACUACCGCGAUACUUGCUUCCUUCCUCGUACACCUGCGUGUGGAAGAUACUGCAAUUUAAAUAUACCAGACGAAAACAAAGAAAAAAUUACUCACAAAAAAUAUAAAUUUGCUUUAAAUGUUGUUGCAUGUUCGUAUAUGCUGUCACCUAUAUUGCUUUCUGAUUCUGCUGUAUGGUAGAGCUUAUUGCUCCUAUGUUUGAUUUUGUUAGGCUCUUCUUGCUUGUGCAAACCAUACCGAAUCCUUGAACACCAAUGCUUUUGUUGCCAAUGAUCCUUCUGCUUGCAUCAAAGGAAAUUUUGUUACCCUGCACCUCUUCAUUAUGACCGUCUACAAAUGCUGCGCCGUCACAACGCCCGCUCUGCGCCUUUGUGGGCAUCUGCGUCUUCAAACCAAAAAAUAAUUAGAAGCACAUGCGACUAAAACUUCCACAUACAUUAAAACCAGCGUUUGAAAUUUUCGUCUUUACCUGGACAAUCUGCUUAGAGGAGUCUCUUCUGCUUAGAAUGCUCCUCUUGGCAGGUGUCUGUUGCACACCAUGCUCCUGGUUGGGGCGUUUGCCAAGAACUUGUAUCUCACUCUUGACUCCAAUUAUUCCAGCCCGCAUGGCAUGUGCGUGUUUGACAGCAUCUGCAUCCUUGAUCUUCUUCUAGUUUUGUAGUAAAAAUAUUUCUUCCACCUCUCGAUACUCAACUACAAAGUAGAUGCACAUGAUAAACAGAUAUUACAGCAUUCAUCUAGGAUAUAUAAAUCAUUUUUCUUGUUGUUAAUGAUCUACUAUUUGGUGUUCUCAGUGGUGACACCUUAACAGCAAACGUCCCAGGAAUAAAAGACCAAACAGUAAUGUUCAACUGCCUUACUAUUACCUGCCUCCCAUAAUCCUUGCCGAUGUCGUUCAAAGACCGACCAUCCCUGUUGUCCUAACUAGAUGACGCACUCCUGAACAUCUGCCCCGAAAAAGAGACGUAAAAAAUAUAAAGGUUAUAAACCUGCAGUAUCAGUGUUAAAACUUUUCGAAGUCGUUAUCAACAGAGAUAUAUUUUUAGUUCUAUGUAAUUAACAAAUAUAAAUAUAUACAUAUAUUAAUUUUUCAUUAAACUACAACCUCAACCAAAGUGAGAUCCUCUCAUGCUAAUUUGCUUGUGCAACACUUGACACAAAGAUAACCAUGAAACCUAACAAAAGUAACAACCUCGUAUUACAAGGACGAGAGGAUACAAAACAAAAAACAAAUUCAAAUCAAAGCUACAGUGUAAAACUAAACAGUUUUAUUCUAUGAAUCCCGACCACAACAAAUUCAUCAACGAAUUGAAUCUCGUGUAUCAGGAAUCGCCACGCAAAAGGUGCGUUGAUAAAUUUUUUACUAACCUUUGAUUGCCGAAUCUUAUGCGUUGAUUGUUCGGAAGUCACACCUUUCUAAAUUGUGGAGGGAUCUGCUUCCCUGCAGUUUGUCGGUGAUCCCCUUCAAUGAUUUUGAAUCUCAGAGAGAGAGAAAAGAGAAAUAGAGAGGGAGAGAGAGAGAGAGAAAGAAAGAAAGAAAGAAAGAAAGAAAGAGGCUACUUCAUUUUUUGCAUGCAGGAGAAGAAUAACCUGAUAGGUGGGGUGAGUUUUGCGACGCAUGAGAGAUGGGCAUGUUUUUUGGGCGUGACGAGAUGUGGUAGGUCGACUUCACUUGACCGUCCACGACACUGACAAGUGGGCUCUCAGUUACUAAUUCCUCUAAGUCUCUCACUAACUUGUGGGGUCGGCCUUAUAUGAGUCCUACGAGGAGUACCUCCAUCUGAGGUGUGAAAAUGUGGUAGGUGGACUUCAAGCUCAUACUGACAUGUGGGCUCUCAAAUAGUUCCUCCAAGUAUUUGACUAACUUGUGGGGUCAUCCGUAGAUGAGUUCCAGAUCUCUCUCCAUCUAGCAUCGGUGGCGACAGGCGAGCUCUCCAAAGGAAAGCCAAUCCUGAUCCCUCCACAGAGUUCGCUCGUCACUGAAAAAAUUAUCGGUCUCCUUCAUCUCACUCGCCGUGGAUCUCCUGUUCAGGUAAUCCAUUGCAUUCUCACCAUGAUUAUGCCACCGAUUCAACAUUUGAACAAAAAAAAUUACUGGUGCUAGCAAUUCCGCGGGCUGCGUACACACCGCAUGUGCUCAACACAGCAGGUGGGGCGCGAUUUGAAUAUCGGUUCCGCAUCCAAUUAUCUCUAGCUGGUCCGUGCUCAAACUGUUGCGCCGUCUUAACAGCAGAGGGGUUACGGAUUUAAAAUUAGGACUCAGCUAACCUCACUUUAACCAUGCAAACUGCAUGCUUGUGCCGUGGUUUUGCUAACUUGAGUUAUAUCUCCAGCCAUGCAAAACUUAAGCACUCGUCUUAGCUAACCAACUAGAGACAGGUCAAAUUAUUUGUAUAGAUCCGCAAUCUAUAGCAGAGAUCCAAAGGAUUUACGUCCGUUUUUGCAAAGCAGUUACUAACUCAGAGUUAGAACCCGUCUUAGCUAACCAGCCUGUUGAUGAUAGUCUCACAUGAACUGCUAACAAUUGUCUUACAUAGCUGACCUGAUAACGAUGACGUCUCAUGACCUCUUAUGUAGAGUUCGAUGAGAUGGAUUCCACCCCACAGCUGUCGGAGACUCAGUCUCAGUCUGUCGAUGGCACGGAAAUUGUCACCCAAGAUUUCAUGGUUCAUGACCAACUAGAGACAGAGAGACUAAGGAUCGAGUUAAAACCUGCAGCGCACAAAAAGCUUAUUGAGGAGUACAGGACAAAGAAGCAGCUUGCUGCCUCGAAGUAGGUGUUUUUUAUCAUGCAUCUCGCGUGUGUCGUUGAAAUUUCUUUGGAAAUCAAUGCCUCUCAUUCUAGCUGCAUUUUUAAUCAUGGCUUAAAUAUUUAUCUCUAUUUUGCCGAGUCGGCGUUUAUAUGUAAGCUUCUGCCAGAAAAAGCAUGUGGUUCAACAAUAAAUUUGCUAAAGGUCAUUUCUUAUCUCUAUCUGCAGAGCUGCUGCAAUGGGUGAAUACGAAGAAGAAUUCAGCACAAAACUUAGCUUCCAGAAAUUCAUUUCUGUCUGUGAAAAGCUAACAAAACCACAAAAACAGCUAGUCAGAGAUAUUGGUUUUGGGUACCUACUAGAUCUAUGCUUUCGCGAGCUUCCAAGGUGUUUCGUUCGCUGGCUUGUCCGCUAUUUAGAUUGCCCUUCCAGGUGUUUCAUGCUGCCUAGUGGAUAUAGAUUCCUUAUCAACUCGUACACCGUGCACCGGAUCUAAGGAAUUCCACUGGGCGGGCACAUUAUCCCUAGAAAAUGCUCAGAAGCUUUCAGAUGUCAGGUUAAGUCUGAAACUUGGUGUGCUGGGCAUGCUCCAAACAUCAGAGAGGUAACUGAUCUCAUAACCCCAGAGCUGACAGGAGAAGUGUUUCAACGGGUUUUCGUGAUGUUUGCAACAGCGGUAUUUCUAUGCCCAACGACAUAUGAUUGCGUUAGCCCCGACUAUUUAGCCGCUCUAGAAGGACCAGCAAGUAACAUAUCAUCAUAUGAUUGGUCCAAUGCUGUCACAGAGAAAUUGGUGACAUCACUCCAGACCUUCAAGGACAAAGGAUUCACAGGCGCCCUGUGUGGCUGCCUCCUGAUACCAGUGGUUCGUUCACUAACUUGAACACUUCUUUAUACCCACAAGCAGCUACAAGAACAUGAUUAAAUUUUACCUCUUCCUCACUUGCAGAUAACGUAUUUUGAGUACCUGGAUACGAAGAUUAUGGACCUGGAACCUAACACUCCUGCAAGACUUGUCAUGUGGGACACAGAGGCCAUUAAGAAUUAUGCUAACAUAGACAGCCUGUCAACGGAGGACAGAAUUUUUGGGAAACACACGGUGAGUCAACUUUUCAUCAUUUUCCUUUGGCGAACUUUUCGACUCAACAUAAUGACUUAGCUGCCAUAUAUUAACUUGACUUGACUGUAAUUUUUUCCUUCCACAUGACAGCUGAAAGACAUUAGGCGCACACCUUUCCAACCACCGCCUGGCUUUCAGGCGCCAUUUUUUCAAAUGAGUCCCAGACUAGAAGCAUACAUAGAAGAAUUUGUGCCUCAAGAAAAACUUUUUUCCGUAAGUGAUUUCCAGCUUCUGCACAUGAUUUUAUGUUUGAAAUGAUGUUCCCUAAGUUUUUGUGAAACAGAUACAUGUCCUAUUGUGUUCAUCCAGACAGUUUCCUAUACUACGUUAGUUGUGCUUUUGUGUUAAAACCAGAAGUGCUUCCUAUAGGACGUUAGUUGUGCUUCUGUGUUAAAAACAGAAGUGCUUCCUAUAGUACGUUAGUUGUGCUUUUGUGUUAAAUAUAAAAGUGCUUCCUAUAGUACCUUAGCUGUGCCUUUAUGUUAAAACCAGAAGUGCUUCCUAUAGGACGUUAGCCAUACUUUUGUGUUAAAUAUAGAAGUGCUUCCUAUAAUACGUUAGCUGUGCUUUUCUGUUAAAACCAGAAGUGCUUCCUAUAGGACGUUAGUUGUGCUUUUGUGUUAAAAACAGAAGUGCUUCCUAUAGUACGUUAGUUGUGCUUUUGUGUUAAAUAUAAAAGUGCUUCCUAUACUACGUUAACUGCGCAUUUGUGUUAAAACCAGAAGUGCUUCCUAUAGGACGUUAGCUGCACUUUUGUGUUAAAUAUAGAAGUGUUAUACUAUGUUAGCUGUGCUUUUGUGUUAAAUAUAAAAGUGCUUCCUAUAGGACGUUAUUUGUGCCUUUGUGUUAAAACUAGAAGUGCUUCCCAUAGGACGUUAUCUGUGCUUUCGUGUUAAAACCAGAACUGCUUCCUAUAAUACGUUAGUCGUGCUUUUGUGUUAAAUAUAAAAGUGCUUCCUAUACUACGUUAACUGCGCAUUGGUGUUAGAUAUACAAGUGCCUCCUAUAGUACGUUAGUUGUGUUUUGGUGUUAAAACUAGAAGUGCUUCCUAUAAUACGUUAGCCGUGCCUUUGCGUUAAAACUAACAGUGCUUCGUAUAGUAUGUUAGUUGUGCUUUUGUGUUAAAACAAGAAGUGCUUUCAUAUAAUAUGUUACCCGUGCUUUUGCGUUAAAACUAACAGUGCUUCCUAUAGUACGUUAGCUGUAAUUUUAUGUUAAAACUAGAAGUGCUUCCUAUAAUACGUUAGUUGUGCCUUUGCGUUAAAUAUAGAAGUGCUCCCUAUAGUAUGUUACCUGUGCUUUUCUGUUAAAAAUACAGGUACUUCCUAUAGAACAUUAACUGUGCCUUUGUAUUAAAUAUAGAAGUGCUCCCUAUAGUACGUCAUCCGUGAUUUUUGUGUUAAAACUACAAGUGCUUGCUAUAGUACGUCAUGUGCCUUUGUGUUAAACAAAGAAGUGCUUCCUAUAGUACGUCAGUUGUGCCUUUGUGUUAAUUGUAACACUGCUUCGCUACGACAGGAGAUCAACCAUGCUUCAUAAGGUAGGUCGACUGCGCUCUGAAAAAACUCUUGGAGGAAACAGCAAAACCUACUGCAACAGAAACAUCAGCCUCACACUCUGCGGUUGACAAACAAUUACUGAAUGAUCCAAUCCUAGCAGAUACACUUGGAGCACCUGUUUAUCACGUUGGGAAAACAUCACCAACUACUGCAUGGUCCAGCGGUUCUGACAGCGCUCACAACAACUCUUCAACCAACACAAAAAGCCUCACUGUAUCCCAGCCUGCACAAAAAUCAAACAAUGUCACUGGACAACGUUCUUCUUCGCUACAGGAAGAUAAGGUCCAUCUUGUUUCAACUUUGAGUGACGAGAAGAACAUUGCUGAAACAGAACGCACAAGAGCUACUUCCUCCCUUCCUCCUAUAGUAGAAGUCCCCAGUGAUUCUGCCAGCGGCUCUGGCUCAGUACUGGACACGGGAAAAGCAAUUCCAUCCACUAGUGAUGCUCCACUAGUUGCUGCACCAUCUAUCAAUGCAUAAGACAAUAACAUUGCAGAAGAACAUGAACAGUGUACGAAGCAACCACCUAUUGAUCCCACAAACAGUGUCCCUAUUACCACAAGCGCACAUCCGCCAGAACCAGAACCAGAAAUGGCACCUCACAAGAGGUCCUUAAAGCAGUCAGAAGAUCCAGGUAACAAGAGUACAGCGCCUCCUAUGAAAAGAGUUAGGAUACUGGAGCCUCCACAAAAUUCAACAGAAACUGCAAACAACCAGUCUCUACAAGCUGACAACCACAGAAGCCUCCUUAAUUGUGGAUUCAUUGAUGAUGAUCAAAUAUGAUCUGACCCAUCUAUUUAUGAACAACUUGACAGAGUCAUUGAACAAAAAAAGAAACAACCCUUUCAUAACCAAGUAGCAUCACAACAAUGCCAACCUGAUACUGUCCCACAGUUGGCCAAUAAUUCAAGCUCGUCAGCUAGAUCUUCCCUUUCUAACUAUCCAGAGCCACCUAUACCCAGCAGAUCAGGAUCAAUGUCAGGCGGUAGCCACCCCACACAGGCCUUUGAUAUGUCAUACUCUACAGGUUUAACUCAAACUGUCUUGUCCCAAAGUUUACCAGCAACUCCCUUGUCCCAACACUGCAACCAACCAGCUCCUAGUAUCAAAAACCAGUUCUACCGACAUCCUGGUGCUCAGAAUAAUGACGGUUCAAACAAAAGCCAGCGCUCACCAUAUGCGUGGAACAACCAAAGUCACAAGCAGUACCAGCAACAAACCAAUGUCCGUGAUGCCCACUACCCCCAACAAAAUGAUGCUCAGAAUAACAGCACUACACGGUGCCAACAACGCCACCCUCAAGAGCAGAACAAUCAGCAACCACACAGAGGCGGGUCUAAUGGGCAAACUUACAGUGCCAUGCAACAACAGUUCAACAGCAUGCAGUAUUCCGCCAUCCUCUCCAGCACUUUCCAACAGAUAUUCCUUCAAGCUCAACCGGUAAUCCAACGGUGAGAACAUUAGAACUGCGCAUGCAGCACCAACCACAACGCCUAAUGUUCCAAAGAAACAACAAUUAUAAUGAGGGUCGUCUCCAAAUUAGUAAUGGUCAAUUGAACUCCGGUGGUCAUGUCUUCCAGCCUCACCAACAACAUUCUGAGCUAGAACAGACUCGAUUCACUGACCAAGGGAAUGACCAUCAAGACCACUGCCAACUUUUGGAAAUAAGAGAUUCCACAAACGAGGAGAAAGAAGUGUAUGAAACAAUCAUCGACAAUACGCCAGGUGUCAAGAAAAAUGAAAGGUAAUGAACUCAUUGUUCCUAUUACAGUAAAGUUUUGGUCCCUUCGUUUAAUAAUGCUAAUCAUUUCAUCUUAUCUUUAAAAAUAAAAUCUUACGAUUUAAAAUUCAUUUGUUUUUUUACAGCAAGAGGAUAUUCUCCGUCGAUCACGUUGGGCCAAUCAUCGAACUUUAGGUUUGUCAAUGAAGGUAUACGGAUAUAUCCACUCAUUCGUGGUCGAUGCUUACUCAGCGUUGCUGAUGAAAGAACAAUUCUACGCAAUGCUAGCAUUUGUGCACAAGCAUAUAAUGUACAUGGACGCUUCUGUAAGUUCUUGCUUCUCAUAAAUAAUAAUAACAAACCACAGUUACUACUACUACCACACUGAGUGACACAGCUACAAUUUUCUGCAGGAUAAAUUUAAAGUUCUAGGAGCAAGCACAGAACUACUCAAGGAACAGAUUGUGGAAAAACUAUUGGGUACAGACUGCCCAACAAAUGUAACAUCGUGAGUUCACCCUACUCACUCUAUCUGCCCAGUGUUCCUCUUUGAUUCUACAAGUUUUUCUUGUUACAAUGAUAUUAUUCCCUGUCAAUUGUUUUAGGUCUUAAUACCUGUGAGAACGGAUCCACAUUUUAUCUACCUCAUCAUCGUGAAUCUUGCAAUGCAUCGCUUCGAAAUUCUAUGUCCUUAUAUCAAUUGCGACAGUAUAAAGGAACACUCGGACAUUGUCAUCGAAAACUUCAAGAGAGCUUACCAUUCUUCUUACAACAACUAUCCUCACACCAUGGCCUCCUUUCAUGUCAAACCUGUGCAGAGUGUAUGUAACUCAGACAGAGAGUAAGUUUCUUUUAUCUGUAGCUCUACCUCAUUUAAACCAUGCAUCUUUUUGUUCCACUACACAUCCCAUAACUACUGUUCACCUUCUAAUCACAGACAUUAAUGCUCUCAAUUUUCAGGGAUGAUAGUGCUAUUUACACCAUGCAUUUGAUGCUGCUCAUUAAUAUGAAUAAUAAUUCAUUUUUUAUCAAUAAUGUAAGUUCACUCUCAUUGACAACACAUCAACAUACGUUCAUCCAAGCCAGCUGAACAUUAAGUUUUGCAAUAAAUUUUAUUAAUUUGCAUGGUUAUGUGUUUGCAGAUCCAUGUGAAACCGAUGAGAGAACAACUAACUUACAGAAUGAUAACAUCCAACCACAACACAGGCCAUGUAUUUGAGGCACUGAGCAUCAUCCUCGACAAGUACAAUAUCCGGCGCGAAAGAAGAAGAGUUGGAAGAAGAUGACUACUGCUUAAAUUAGCCUUAAUUUAGCUGGAGCCAUCCGAACAUUGUUUCAGCCAGCCAUAUCGACUCAUAUGUAAUCACAACAAUGUUUCACCUAUUUUUGUGUCCGUCCAAGAUAUCUGCUAUGGAUACAGUAAACACAGCUGUGCGUUCAAAUGGUCAAGUCUUAAAUUCCUGAACAGCAAACAUUUACAAAUAAGAAUCGUAUUUUUGUCCAAAAGUUCUAAACAUGAUAUUCAACACAUCACUUCCUUGCACUAGAACACCACUCACUUCAAUAAGACAUAAUAAAAGAAACAAUUGAAACACAGAGGAAAAACACUAUCAAUACGUAAGCAUCUGACGAAGGAGCUAAAUGACUCACCUCCAGUAAUCUGGAUCACAGAGGCACUGUCGUGCCUCUUAUCCACGUAGAACGUGCCUCUCUAACCAUGGACAACUAAGCUGACACACACAAGUGCGCCACCAGUUAACACAAGACCGUCCCCUGUCUACAGCUUAACACCGGUCCCUCCCCAAGCCAAAUGAGUCAUGGAAACACGGCCGUGACUCAAGUUAACGAAAUAAGAACCAUCCUCUAUGAUAAACGACUAAAACUAAAAAAUACCAAAACAGAAGAACGACCGUGACUUCAACUGUAAAAGGUUUGUGACCUCACAAGUUUCAACGACGAGUCUCUCUCAGCAAAUAAGUGAAAGCAAACGUUUCGAAAGAAAGGCACGACCAUGCCUUUGAGUAACAUCGUAGACGUGCCUCUUUGAGCGAACGUGUAAGAGAAAGCAUUUGCGAACAACAGACAGAACUCUGACUCAACAUAACAUAGCACAUACCUCCACUAACUAAACAGCCGUGACUUCACUAACAGAAUAACUAGGAAAUAUUACAGAACAUACAACCAUGACAGUGACUCAUACUAACAUAACGCAGUGCCUCUCCGAAUUUAAUACCGAAAGGAAAGAUAACACCUCUACCAAACAUACGACAAUGCAUCCAAUGCCUUCACGGCCAUGCCUUUCAAAAUCAAAGUACCACCACAGUAAUAGAAAGACAAACGCAACUGUCGAUAACACAAUACUCCCACAGCAAGUAUCACACUGGAUUACCGUGCCUAAAACAGGGAACAUAUACUGAAACAGACAACAUAUAUUGAAACAGACAGCAAAGUGAGAAAAUCUGAAGAAUCUUAAACACACUCAAGCUCUGCAUAAAACCAUUUCAAACACACAACCACAACCAUAUAUUCAAUAUAAAAACAACUAUGCCAAACACAGUACAAACACAAAGGAAAAGUAAAGCCCCUACCUGUCAGUGAAGAAGCUAGCAAACUAAUAAGACCAGAGCGUGCCUUGCCUGAAACAAAAACAAUGCCUCCCUGAACAAACGACUGUGCACUGCCUAGAAUCACGAGAGUGCACAUCUGAGUGCUCCUCUUAAUACAUCUCAUCUUAUACCAACUCAUAGCAACAAAUCAUAGAGGAAAAUAUUCUUGAAGACACCCAAUCAAAGAAAACAAAAUGGAACAAAAAUAAACUUAAAUUUCCAAACUAGUCAACUCCAUCUGGUUCAAAAUAAAACAACCACAAUUACAAAUUCAUCAGUCUAUGUAAUACUACCCCAUACAAUAACUACCAAAUAACCAAUUCAUCACACAAUCCAUCAUGCAAGCACUUCCACCUGGACUACUCCUCAGAAAUGUCCUUGUCAUCUGAGAUCAGGAAGACAGCGACGAUGCAGGAUGUCCCUCAUCGACAGAAACCGGCGGUAUAGAUCAUAGCUCACAUACCCUUCCUAAAGGAAAAUCAAAUUAAAACAUGAAUAUACAAAAAAAACAAGUAUUGUUCUAGCAACAAAGGCAGAAACUAACGAAAAUGAAAUCUUCACUUACAGUAGCUCCAUAUUUCAGGUGAUCAAAUCUAAGUGGCUUCCAAUCCCAGUAGUGACGAAGAAGUUCUGGAAAAGAUGACUCUAGCUUCGAAUAAGAUUCGUCAAUGAUGGCUCCUGCUAAGUCCUCCAUGGAGUCCCUUUCUUUGCCGCCUUUGAUCAUAAACUUCUCUUGGAUGUCGAUAUGGUACCCUUCUGGAAUUCUGAUGAAAUCUUGAAAAAUAGCAUCUCUAAUAUUCCUGACGCCCACACUAGAGAAAGUUAUACCUCUAUUCUCAAGGAAAUCCUUCAAGGCAGGGCACUCCGUCCUGGCCCUGCAGAAGUGAUAGAGCAAAACAUGAUUCUGCAUAGCCAGAUGCAUGACAGCGACUUUUCUACGCCCGUAAAAAUCCUUUCGCGUGAACUCCAUGCCGAGACCAAUAAACUUGUGCUUCUCCUCGCACAACCAGUCCUCGUACAAGCGAAUGAUCUCCUCCACCUUACCAGGCUCGUUGGUGUACCACACGUCGAGCUUCGUGUUACCAUCGGCAACUAUAGAAUGGUACUCGGUGGUGUUCAAAAAGUCGUCCAUGGCAACGAGCAGCAAGGUGCCAGUGGAGAUUCCUAAGACCCUGCGACAAGGUUGGGGAGUGGCGAAGAGGCUGGGAACUGGCUGAUGUUCUGUGGCUAGAAUACGAUGUGAAAACCUCACAAACACGGCCAGUAUUUAACCUUGGCGAGGGACCUUUGAGUUACAAUGCGCAUUAACGUGUGAACUAGGAACAGCGAAUAGACGGUUGUGCUUCCGAAGCUCAUAAAACCAUGCACUUCGUAAAGUCACGGCUGUGCACAAAUAUUUGAUGUCGUGGAGAAAUAGAGGAGCCUCUAACUUUAUUUUAUGAUAACUGACACACCGAAUAGUCACAUCGAACAGCCGGCACAUCGGUCAUCAAUUCCUCCUUUGAAAAAAAACCACCAAUGGAAGAAUCCAAUGAAGCAAACAAACAGCCAGCCGUACGCCUUAGACCCGAAGGCCAAAACUCAUCCGUGCCUCAUCUAGCUAGAUUCACAACAUCUGUCCCUCGAUAGUCAAGGCUAGUUUCAGGUGAGGCCCGGGUAUGCAGGCACAACACGCACAUACGUGUCUAUCAGGAACGGGUAUGCAGGCGCACGAUGCACAUACGUGUCUAUUCCACAGGCACGGGUAUCACCACAGGCACGUAGAGAUACAGGAAGCAACUCGUCGUAAACACGUGAAUGCAGGCAACAAAGGCACGGAAACAAAACCUCUACAUGCACGUGCUUCGGCUUGGCAAGGCACGAAUACAGCCCUGCAAUUAACAUUCUCGAGCCACGACUAGACACCCUCUGCGUACAGACAUGGAAUUGCAGCUUCUCCGACGCACAAGCACGGUUUUCGAAUUGGUAUUAUCGAGGCACAGAUACAAAUCCUCUGCAUACAAAUCAUCUAGAUGCAAAAAAGAGAGGUGGCAGAGGCAUCGGUAAGAACACUCUGUUGGAGAGGCACGGUUGCAAACUCUCAAGAGGGACAGCCAUGUGACACCGCAGACACAUAGACACGUGAAGUGUAUCACAUGAGGAUACAUCAAAUACAAGCACCGAAUCAACGGUAGAAGUGAAAGAGCCACAGUUUUAAAGUGACUAGAGGCAAGGACGUGUAGAAGCACGGGCACGACGAGUCACAGCCACCGCAUCCCCUCACGGACAGGCAUCUGGCACCACAGGCACGUAGAGUCACAGCCAGCGUGUCUCCUGAGACAAGCGAAUGCAGGUACAGGACGCAAAGAACUGCAGUGUAUACAGGCACGAAAUUACGACUUUUGUCGCACAGGUACGGCUAUCGAAUUGGCGUUCUCGAGGCAACGGUACAAACCACCUGAACGCACAAAAGAGUGAUGGCAGAGGCACGGUUGUGUAGUCUGAAGAGAAACUGCCGUGUGACACCACCACAUAGAGACAUCGCGUUUGUCACGUGAGGUACGGUCCCGAAGAACACAAAGACGGGAAACUGAAAAAUGUUGCCUCGUACUUUACCAGACGUGUGUCUCUUGUGCGAAUGUGUAAAACACAACAAUACAAACACAAACAAACAGCGGUGAAUAUAAGCCAAACAAAAAACACGCUUCUCCAAACAAUACAUAUGCGUCCCCUCACGGACUGACACUAGAGGCACGUAGAGUCACAGCCAGCAUGACGCCUGAGACACACAAAUGCACGUACAGGAGACACCGAAUUACAGUGUAUACAGACACAGAAUUGCGGCUUCUCAUAGUUAUCGAAGCACGGGUACAAACAACCUAGAUGCACAAAAGAGUGGUGGCAAAGGCAUGGAUGUGUAGUGUCAAGAGGAACUGUCGUAUGAAACCAGCACGUUACACACAUGGCGUGUCUCACGGAUGUACAUGCAUAGACGGAAAGAAGCCAUGGAAGUGAAGCCUGAACAUACACGGAUGAAUGGAUUCUCAAGGCACGGUCCUAAAGCACACAAAGAAACGAAACUAAAAUGUUGCCUUGUACGUUAGCAGACAUGCCUCUCUUGUGCAAAUGUGUAAAAGCCAACAAUACAAACACAAUCAAACGGCACUGAAUAAAAUCCAAACACAAAACGCGCUUCUCCCAAACAAUACAUAUGCGCCACUUCAACAGGUUCUCUAAAUAUACAUGAACUCACGCAAACAUCAACAAUGAACUUGUAACAUGAAAAAACAUAAGAAAUUAUAUUCACAUAACAUGAGACGGUACUCCAUAGGAUUGAACUAAAAGUACUCAUUAAUUAUACAAAAAAGAAAUGAAAGUCUUCCAGGAAUCCAUUCUGCUCACACCACCUGGACGAUUAUACUCAAUUGGAGUUCUGCUCAAAAGCAUCAACAGCGUCCGGGGUCGGGAAGACAACGAGGAUGCAUCAUGUCCUUCAUAGAUAGAACUCGGCGGUAGAGCUCAUAGUUGACAUACCCAUCCUAAAAUAAAAAGUGGAUGAGAAUGAAGAUAUACGUUAAGGGGGAAAAGUACUGUUGUUGCAAUAAAACAAAAAUAUAAAGACGAAAUUUUCACUUACAAUUGCUGCAUAUUUCAGGUGUUCAAGGGAAAGCGGCUUCCAUUCCUAGUAGUCAUGCAGACCUUGUGGAAAAGACGACUUCAUACUCAAGUAAGAUUUGUUUAUGACGGCUCCUGCCAAAUCUGCCAUUGAAUCCCUUAGGUUGCCUCCUUUGAUCAUGAGCUCCUCUUGAAGGUCGGUGUGACACUCUCUUGGGAUUUUGAGGUAACUGUUUGCGAGAACAUCCCUAUUGUUCCUGAUGUUGACACUAGCGAAAAUUAUACCUUUGUUCCGAAGGAAAUCCUUCAGAGCAACGCACUCCGUCCUGGCCUUGCACAAGUGAUAAACAAGAACAUACUUGCGCAUCGCUAGUUGCAUAACGGCAACUUUUCUACUACGAUCAAAAUAAUCCUCCCGUGUGUACUCCAGGUCAAGACCAACAAACUUGUACCUUUCCUCACGCAGCCAUUCCUCAUAGAGAGUAAGAAUCUCCUCCAGCUUGUGGGGCUCAUUGGUGUACAACACAUCGAGCUUGGUAUUACCAUCAGCAACUAUAGAGAGACGCUCAGUAGUGUUCCUAAAGUCGUCCAUGGAACCGAGGCUGAGACAACAAUGGAGUUUGAUUAUGCUUCUCGUAUGAGUCGAGGAUGACGGGAGCUACCUGCACUUCUCUGGAGGGAAUAAGACGCGAUAACCUCCAGGAAUAGACCACUACUUAACCUUUGGGGAGAGACGGCUGAGCUACCAUGCGCCCAUUUAAUUGCUAAGGAAACGGUGAAUGGACGAUUGUGCUUCUGCAGCUCAUGAAACCAUGCACUUCAAAAGUCACGACUACCAUGCUGUAAUCGAGGAGCACCUAGAUUGACUCUAGCAUGGUAUCUGGCACAAUGAAUACUAACAAUAAAUAGCCAUCCACACCAGCACAUCUUUUGACCGAGAGAACAAUGAGAGGAAGCAAACAAGAUGACCCUGUCGUACAAAUACUACACGGGGACUGAAGAAAAAUAGAAGCAUGGUUCGGCCAGCACAAAAGCCACACGUGUGCCUCCACUUUGCUUUAAAGACAAACCUUAGUGAUAUCAACGGACCUGCAUCUCUAUGUCUAUCCGUGCUUCUCACAUACAAAUAACUGUGGGCUAUCAUAGAUAUUCCCGCCUGAACCCAACGUACAUAAAAACAGUGGCUCCCUAGGUCAACAACUACUUGAAAAAAAUUUGCAAUAACAGAGUCAUGAACCGUGACUCCAUUCCAGAUAAAAAAGUGCCUCUCAUUAGGAACCAUCAUGCCUCCCCUCAAUUUGCCUCCCCCGACGUAUCGACCAUGCCUCUCCUGCUACAACGACCGUGCAUCUAAUAACAUCAUCACCGUUCCUCUCCUAAAGACACACCCAACCAUAUCUGAUUAAACAUGUGAUUAAAAAAAUUAAAACACAAAAGCAGGAGUAUGCUUUUUAGCAUGUAUAACGGUGCCUCGCAAAAAGUAUGUGAGGCAGCAUAGGCACGUAAAAGACUCCGGUCGGACGCAGCACAGCUGGACAACUAUAAUGGGAGGCAGUUGGACGAGUCAAACAUCUCGUGUCCCCAUAACACCUCGGGAUACAUGCACACCAUCUACAACCAGCAUUCAUUCCAUUUCGCAGAAUAAAAAACAAAACAAAAAGCACUGAUACGUCUCCAAUGUAUCUAUAAUUUUUUAUUGCUCGAUGCUAUAUUAUCUACUAUUUUGGACUAUAUUGGGAUUUAUUUUCCACUUUUAUAUUAUUUUUGGGACUAACCUAUUAACCGGAGGCCCAGCCCAGAAUUGAUGUUUUUUGCCUAUUUCAGUGUUUCGGAUAAACAGAAUAUCAAACGGAGUCCAAACGGAAUAAAAUCUUCGGGAACGUGAUUUUCUCACCGAAUGUGAUCCAGGAGACUUGGACCCUACUCCAGGGGGUCAAAGAGGAGGUCACGAGGGUGCCCCUCCUAGGGCGUGCCCCCCUGCCUCGUGGGCCCCUCGGUGCUCCACCAACGUACUCCUUCCUCCUAUAUAUACACACGUACCCCCAAACGAUCAGAACAGGAGCCAAAAACCUAAUUCCACCGCCGCAACUUUCUGUAUCCACGAGAUCCCAUCUUGGGGCCUAUUCCGGAGCUCCGCCGGAAGAGGGCCGUCAUCACGGAGGGCUUCUACAUCAUCCUAGCCUCUCCGAUGAAGUGUGAGUAGUUUACCUCAGACCUUCGGGUCCAUAGUUACUAGCUAGAUGGCUUCUUCUCUCUCUUUGAAUCUCAAUACAAAGUUCUCCCCCUCUCUUGUGGAGAUCUAUUCGAUGUAAUCUUCUUUUUGCGGUGUGUUUGUUGAGACCGAUGAAUUGUGGGUUUAUGAUCAAGUCUAUCUAUGAAUAAUAUUUGAAUCUUCUCUGAAUUCUUUUAUGUAUGAUUGGUUAUCUUUGCAAGUCUCUUCGAAUUAUCCGUUUGGUUUGGCCAACUAGAUUGGUAGUUCUUGUCAUGGGAGAAGUGCUUAGCUUUGGGUUCGAUCUUGCGGUGUCCUUACCCAGUGACAGAAGGGGCAGCAAGGCACGUAUUGUAUCGUUGUCAUCGAGGAUAACAAGAUGGGGUUUAUUUCAUAUUGCAUGAAUUUAUCUCUCUACAUCAUGUCAUCUUGCUUAAGGCGUUACUUUGUUUUUAACUUAAUACUCUAGAUGCAUGCUGGAUAGCGGUCGAUGAGUGGAGUAAUAGUAGUAGAUGCGGAAUCGUUUCGAUCUACUUGUCACGGACGUGAUGCCUAUAUACAUGAGCAUGCCUAGAUAUUCUCAUAACUAUGCUCAAUUCUGUCAAUUGCUCAACAGUAAUUUGUUCACCCACCGUAGAAUACUUAUGCUCUUGAGAGAAGCCACUAGUGAAACCUAUGGCCCCCGGGUCUACUCUCAUCAUAUCAAUCUCCAUCACUUUAUCUUGCUUUGCUUUUUACUUUGCUUUUACUUUUUACUUUGCAUCUUUAUACCAAAAAUACCAAAAAUAUUAUAUCUAUCAGAUCUCACUCUCGUAAGUGACCAUGAAGGGAUUGACAACCCCUAAUCGCGUUGGUUGCGAGUAGCUAUCGCUUUGUGCAGGUACGAGGGACUUGAGCGUGUCCUCCUACUGGAUUGAUACCUUGGUUCUCAAAAACUGAGGGAAAUACUUACACUAUUCUGCUGCAUCAUCCCUUCCUCUUCGGGGAAAACCAACGCAAGCUCAAGACGUAGCAAGAAGGAUUUCUGGCGCCGUUGCCGAGGAGUCUACGCAAAAAGUCAACAUACCAAGUAUCCAUCACAAUCCCUAUCUCUCGCAUUACAUUAUUUGCCAUUUGCCUCUCGUUUUCCUCUCCCCCCAAUUCACCCUUGUCGUUUUAUUCGCCCUCUCUCUCUCUAUCCUCCCUCUCUAUUUGCCUCUUUUUGCCCGCUUGCUUUUUGUUUGCUCGUAUGGUUGGAAUAGUCGUUUAUUUAUUACUAAAUAGAGAACCUAAGAUCUAUGGAUCCUCAUCCGCUUGCUAAUCUUUUUAAGAGAUCCAGUUAUGUUGAACCAAUUGCUAGUGAGUUUUGUGCACUAGAUUAUCUUUAUGAGGUUUUGCUUGAAAUUCGUGAUUCUGAAAAGUGUGAUGAAGUACUUCAUGAAGAGAUUCACAAUAGAUAUUUGAAUAAAAAGCAUGAUUGUAAUGAUGAUAGUAUAAAUUCUAUUAAUAUAAAUUGUGCUAAUAAUAUGCAAAAUCCUAAGCUUGAAGAUGCUAGUUUUGCUAUGUCCUCUACUUGUUGCAAUGAUCAUGAUUGGGGUGAUUCUUCUUAUGAUUUUGAAAAUUUAUUUAAGCCCCAUGAUGAAUAUGAGAUUGAUUAUAAUGUUUGCAAUAAUAUUGAAAGUGGGUUUGGAAGAAUGUCAACUUUAGGUCCCACAUAUUUGGAGAAUGUUCAAUCUUAUGAAGUUUUUGAUAAAAGUGUGUUUGGAAAGGUCGUGACUUUAGUUAAUGUUAAUCCCACUAUUUUGGAAGAGUGUCAACUUUACAUGCAUGUGGAUCAUGUUGAAAGUAUUCUAUGUGAUAGCUAUUUUGUUGAAUUUUCUUAUGAUCCUACAUGUAAUUAUUACGAGAGAGGAAAAUAUGGUGGUAGAAAUUUUCAUGUUACUAAAUUACCUCUCGUUAUGUUGAGAUUGCUAUUGUUUCUUUCCGCUUCCUUGCAUAUGCUAGUUUUUGCUUGCCUUGAUAAUUUGUUUGCCUAUAAGAUGCCUAUGCAUAGGAAUUAUGUUAGACUUAGAUGUGUUUGUCACGUGUUUUAUGAUGCUCUCUUCGUGCUUCAAUUCUUGUCUUUCAUGUGAGCAUCAUUGAAAUAUUAUGCCUAGCUAUAAGGCUUUAAAGAAAAGCGCUUCUUGGGAGACAACCCAAUGUUUAUCCUUGCUAUUAUUUAAUAAAUAAAUUAUUUAUCCUCUGUUUUGGUUGUGUUUUUGUUUUUAAUUAGUGUUUGUGCCAAGUAGAACCAUUGGGAAGACUUGGGGAAAGUCUUGUUGAACUUGCUGUAAAAAACAGAAACUUUAGCGCUCACAAGAACUGCUGUCAUUUUUAUUUGAAGAGUACUAUUUAGUUAAUUCUUUUUGAAGAUGAUUCACGUCCAGAAAUUUAUUUUAGAAUCUUUAGGGUUCCAGAUCUUGCGCUAUCUACAGAUUACUACAGACUGUUCUGUUUUUGACAGAUUUUGUUUUUCGUGUGUUGUUUGCUUAUUUUGAUGAAUCUAUGGCUAGUAAAAUAGUUUAUAAUCCAUAAAGAAGUUGGAAUACAGUAGGUUUAACACCAAUAUAAAUAAAGAAUGAGUUCAUUACAGUACCUUGAAGUGGUCUUUUGUUCUCUUUCGCUAACGGAGCUCACGAGUUUUCUAUUUUGAGUUUUGUGUUGUGAAGUUUUCAAGUUUUGGGUGAAUUCUUUUGAUGGAUCAUGGAACAAGGAGUGGCAAAAUCCUAAGCUUGGGGAUGCCCAUGGCACCCCCAAGAUAAUCCAAGGACACCAAAAAGUCAAAGCUUGGGGAUGCCCCGGAAGGCAUCCCCUCUUUCGUCCACUUCCAUAGGUAAUUUACUUGGAGCUAUAUUUUUAUUCACCAACAUGAUAUGUGUUUUGCUUGCAGCAUCUUGUAUUAUUUGUGUCUUUGUGUCUUAUGUUGGGGAACGCAGUAAUUUCAAAAAAAUUCCUACGCACACGCAAGAUCAUGGUGAUGCAUAGCAACGAGAGGGGAAAGUGUUGUCUACGUACCUACGCAGACCGACUGCGGAAGCGUUGACGCAACGUAGAGGAAGUAGUCGUACGUCUUCCCGAUCCGACCGAUCCAAGCGCCGUUACUCCGGCACCUCCGAGUUCUUAGCACACGUACAGCUCGAUGACGAUCCCCGAGCUCCGAUCCAGCAAAGCGUCGGGGAGGAGUUCCGUCAGCACGACGGCGUGGUGACGAUCUUGAUGUUCUGCUGUCGCAGGGCUUCGCCUAAGCACCGCUACAAUAUGGUCGAGGUGGAAUAUGGUGGCAGGGGGCACCGCACACGGCUAAGGAACGAUCUCAAGGAUCAACUUGUGUGUCUAGGGGUGUCCUCUGCCUCCAUAUAUAAAGAAGCCAAGGGGAGCGGGCCGGCCGGCCAAGGAAGGUGCGCCAAGGGAGUCCUACUCCCUCUGGGAGUAGGAUUCCUUCCCCCAAUCCUAGUUGGAGUAGGAUUCGCUGAGGGGGAAAGAGAGAGAGGGGGGCCGGCCACCUCUCCUUGUCCUAAUAGGACUAGGGGAGGGGGAGGCGCGUGGCCCAUCUUGGGCUGCCCCUUCUCCUUUCCACUAAAGCCCAUUAAGGCCCAUACAGCUCCCGGGGGGUUCCGGUAACCUCCCGGUACUCCGGUAAAAUACCGAUUUCACCCGGAACACUUCCGAUAUCCAAACAUAGGCUUCCAAUAUAUCAAUCUUUAUGUCUCGACCAUUUCGAGACUCCUCGUCAUGUCUGUGAUCACAUCCGGGACUCUGAACUAACUUCGGUACAUCAAAAUGCAUAAACUCAUAAUAACUGUCAUCGUAACGUUAAGCAUGCGGACCCUACGGUUCGAGAAUAAUGUAGACAUGACCGAUACACAUCUCCGGUCAAUAACCAAUAGCGGGACCUGGAUGCCCAUAUUGGCUCCUACAUAUUCUACGAAGAUCUUUAUCGGUCAGACCGCAUAACAACAUACGUUGUUCCCUUUGUCAUCGGUAUGUUACUUGCCCGAGAUUCGAUCGUCGGUAUCCAAUACCUAGUUCAAUCUCAUUACCUGCAAGUCUCUUUACUCGUUCCGUAAUACAUCAUCUCGCAACUAACUCAUUGGCUGCAAUGCUUGCAAGGCUUAUGUGAUGUGCGUUACCGAGAGGGCCCAGAGAUACCUCUCCGACAAUCGGAGUGACAAAUCCUAAUCUCGAAAUACGCCAACCCAACAUCUACCUUUGGAGACACCUGUAGAGCUCCUUUAUAAUCACCCAGUUACGUUGUGACGUUUGGUAGCACACAAAGUGUUCCUCCGGUAAACGGGAGUUGCAUAAUCUUAUAGUCAUAGGAACAUGUAUAAGUCAUGAAGAAAACAAUAGCAACAUACUAAACGAUCGGGUGCUAAGCUAAUGAAAUGGGUCGUGUCAAUCAGAUCAUUCAACUAAUGAUGUGACCUUGUUAAUCAAAUAACAACACCUUGUUCAUGGUUAGGAAACAUAACCAUCUUUGACUAACGAGCUAGUCAAGUAGAGGCAUACUAGUGACACUAAGUUUGUCUAUGUAUUCACACAUGUAUUAUGUUUCCGGUUAAUACAAUUCUAGCAUGAAUAAUAAACAUUUAUCAUGAUAUAAGGAAAUAAAUAGUAACUUUAUUAUUGCCUCUAGGGCAUAUUUCCUUCAUCCUCCCACUUGCACUAGAGUCAAUAAUCUAGAUUACACAGUAAUGAUUCUAACACCCAUGGAGCCUUGGUGCUGAUCAUGUUUUGCUCGUGGAAGAGGCUUAGUCAACGGGUCUGCAACAUUCAGAUCCGUAUGUAUCUUGCAAAUCUCUAUGUCUCCCACCUGGACUAGAUCCCGGAUGGAAUUGAAGCGUCUCUUGAUGUGCUUGGUCCUCUUGUGAAAUCUGGAUUCCUUUGCCAAGGCAAUUGCACCAGUAUUGUCACAAAAGAUUUUCAUUGGACCCGAUGCACUAGGUAUGACACCUAGAUCGGAUAUGAACUCCUUCAUCUAGACUCCUUCGUUCGCUGCUUCCGAAGCAGCUAUGUACUCCGCUUCACAUGUAGAUCCCGCUACGACGCUUUGUUUAGAACUGCACCAACUGACAGCUCCACCGUUUAAUGUAAACACGUAUCCGGUUUGCGAUUUAGAAUCGUCCGGAUCAGUGUCAAAGCUCGCAUCAACGUAACCUUUUACGAUGAGCUCUUUGUCACCUCCAUAUACAAGAAACAUAUCCUUAGUCCUUUUCAGGUAUUUCAGGAUGUUCUUGACCGCUGUCCAGUGAUCCAGUCCUAGAUUACUUUGAUACCUCCCUGCUAAACUUAUAGCAAGGCACACAUCAGGUCUGGUACACAGCAUUGCAUACAUGAUAGAGCCUAUGGCUGAAGCAUAGGGAACAUCUUUCAUUUUCUCUCUAUCUUCUGCAGUGGUUGGGCAUUGAGUCUUGCUCAACUUCACACCUUGUAACACAGGCAAGAACCCUUUCUUUGCUUGAUCCAUUUUGAACUUCUUCAAAACUUUGUCAAGGUAUGUGCUUUGUGAAAGUCCAAUUAAGCGUCUUGAUCUAUCUCUAUAGAUCUUAAUGCCUAAUAUGUAAGCAGCUUCACCGAGGUCUUUCAUUGAAAACUUUUAUUCAAGUAUCCCUUUAUGCUAUCCAGAAAUUCUAUACCAUUUCCAAUUAGUAAUAUGUCAUCCACAUAUAAUAUCAGAAAUGCUACAGAGCUCCCACUCACUUUCUUGUAAAUACAGGCUUCUCCAAAAGUCUGUAUAAAACCAAAUGCUUUGAUCACACUAUCAAAGCGUUUAUUCCAACUCCGAGAGGCUUGCACCAGUCCAUAAAUGGAUCGCUGGAGCUUGCACACUUUGUUAGCUCCCUUUGGAUCGACAAAACCUUCUGGUUGCAUCAUAUACAACUCUUCUUCCAGAAAUCCAUUCAGGAAUGCAGUUUUGACAUCCAUCUGCCAAAUUUCAUAAUCAUAAAAUGCGGCAAUUGCUAACAUGAUUUAGACAGACUUAAGCAUCGCUACGGGUGAGAAAGUCUCAUCAUAGUCAAUCCCUUGAACUUGCCGAAAACCUUUUGCGACAAGUCGAGCUUUGUAGAUAGUAAUAUUACCGUCAGCGUCAGUCUUCUUCUUGAAGAUCCAUUUAUUCUCAAUUGCUUGCCGAUCAGCGGGCAAGUCAACCAAAGUCCAUACUUUGUUCCCAUACAUGGAUCCCAUCUCAGAUUUCAUGGCUUCAAGCCACUUUGCGGAAUCUGGGCUCACCAUCGCUUCUUCAUAGUUCGUAGGUUCAUCAUGAUCUAGCAGCAUGAUUUCCAGAACAGGAUUACCGUACCACUCUGGUGCGGAUCUCGCUCUGGUUGAUCUACGAGGUUCAGUAGUAUCUUGUCCUGAAGUUUCAUGAUCAUCAUCAUUAGCUUCCUCACUAAUUGGUAUAGGUGUCGCAGAAACAAUUUUCUGUGAUGUACUACUUUCCAAUAAGGGAGCAGGUACAGUUACCUCGUCAAGUUCUACUUUCCUCCCACUCACUUCUUUCGAGAGAAACUCCUUCUCUAGAAAGGAUCCAUUCUUAGCAACGAAUGUCUUGCCUUCGGAUCUGUGAUAGAAGGUGUACCCAACAGUCUCCUUUGGGUAUCCUAUGAAGACACAUUUCUCCGAUUUGGGUUCGAGCUUAUCAGAUUGAAGCUUUUUCACAUAAGCAUCACAGCCCCAAACUUUAAGAAAUGACAACUUUGGUUUCUUGCCAAACCACAGUUCAUAAGGCGUCGUCUUAACGGAUUUUGAUGGUGCCCUAUUUAACGUGAAUGCGGCCGUCUCUAGAGCGUAUCCCCAAAACGAUAGCGGUAAAUCAGUAAGAGACAUCAUAGAUCGCACCAUAUCUAGUAAAGUAUGAUUACGACGUUCGGACACACCAUUGCGCUGUGGUGUUCCGGGUGGCGUGAGUUGCGAAACUAUUCCACAAUUUUUCAAAUGUACACCAAUCUCGUAACUCAAAUAUUCUCCUCCACGAUCAGAUCGUAGAAACUUUAUUUUCUUGUUACGAUGAUUUUCAACUUCACUCUGAAAUUCUUUGAACUUUUCAAAUGUUUCAGACUUAUGUUUCAUUAAGUAGAUAUACCCGUAUCUGCUUAAAUCAUCUGUGAAGGUGAGAAAAUAACGAUAUCCGCCACGAGCUUCAAUAUUCAUCGGACCACAUACAUCUGUAUGUAUGAUUUCCAACAAAUCUGUUGCUCUCUCCAUAGUACCGGAGAACGGUGUUUUUGUCAUCUUGCCCAAGAGGCACGGUUCGCAAGUACCAAGUGAUUCAUAAUCAAGUGGUUCCAAAAGUCCAUCAGUAUGGAGUUUCUUCAUGCGCUUUAUACCGAUAUGACCUAAACGGCAGUGCCAUAAAUAAGUUGCACUAUCAUUAUCAACUCUGCAUCUUUUGGCUUCAACAUUAUGAAUAUGUGUAUUACUACUAUCGAGAUUCAAUAAGAAUAGACCACUCUUCAAGGGUGCAUGACCAUAAAAGAUAUUACUCAUAUAAAUAGAACAACCAUUAUUCUCUGAUUUAAAUGAAUAACCAUCUCGCAUUAAACAAGAUCCAGAUAUAAUGUUCAUGCUCAACACUGGCACCAAAUAACAAUUAUUUAGGUCUAAUAUUAAUCCCGAAGGUAGAUGUAGAGGUAGCGUGCCGAUCGCGAUCACAUCGACUUUGGAACCGUUUCCCACGCGCAUCGUCACCUCGCCCUUCGCCAGUGUUCGCUUAAUCCGUAGCCCCUGUUUCGAGUUGCAAAUAUUAGCAACAGAACCAGUAUCAAAUACCCAGGUGCUACUGCAAGCUCUAGUAAGGUACACAUCAAUAACAUGUAUAUCACAUAUACCUUUGUUCACCUUGCCAUCCUUCUUAUCCGCCAAAUAUUUGGGGCAGUUCUGCUUCCAGUGACCAGUCUUCUUGCAGUAGAAGCACUCAGUUUCAGGCUUAGGUCCAGACUUGGGUUUCUUCUCCUGAGCAGCAACUAGCUUGCCGUUCUUCUUGAAGUUCCCCUUCUUCUUCCCUUUGCCCUUUUUCUUGAAACUAGUGGUCUUGUUAACCAUCAAAACUUGAUACUCCUUCUUGAUUUCUACCUCUGUAGCUUUCAGCAUUGCGAAGAGCUCGGGUAUAGUCUUGUUCAUCCCUUGCAUAUUAUAGUUCAUCACGAAGCUCUUGUAGCCUGGUGGCAGUGAUUGGAGAAUUCUGUCAAUGACGCAAUCAUCUGGAAGAUUAACUCCCAUCUGAAUCAAGUGAUUAUUAUACCCAGACAUUUUGAGUAUAUGCUCACUGACAGAACUGUUCUCCUCCAUCUUGCAGCUAUAGAACUUAUUGGAGACUUCAUAUCUCUCAAUUCGGGCAUUUGCUUGAAAUAUUAACUUCAACUCCUGGAACAUCUCAUAUGCUCCAUGACGUUCAAAACAUCGUUGAAGUCCCGAUUCUAAGCCGUAAAGCAUGGCACACUGAACUAUCGAGUAGUCAUCAGCUUUGCUCUGCCAAACGUUCAUAACAUCUGGUGUUGCUCCAGCAGCAGGCCUGGCACCUAGUGGUGCUUCCAGGACGUAAUUCUUCUGAGCAGCAAUGAGGAUAAUCCUCAAGUUACGGACCCAGUCCGUGUAAUUGCUACCAUCAUCUUUCAACUUUGCUUUCUCAAGGAACGCAUUAAAAUUCAACGGAACAACAGCACGAGCCAUCUAUCUACAAUCAACAUAAACAAGCAAGAUACUAUCAGGUACUAAGUUCAUGAUAAGUUUAAGUUCAAUUAAUCAAAUUACUUAAGAACUCCUACUUAGAUAGACAUCCCUCUAAUCCUCUAAGUGAUCACGUGAUCCAAAUCAACUAAACCAUAACCGAUCAUCACGUGAGAUGGAGUAGUUUUCAAUGGUGAACAUCGUUAUGUUGAUCAUAUCUACUAUAUGAUUCACGCUCGACCUUUCAGUCUCUGUGUUCCGAGGCCAUAUCUGCAUAUGCUAGGCUCGUCAAGUUUAACCUGAGUAUUCUGCGUGUGCAAAACUGGCUUGCACCCGUUGUAGAUGGACGUAGAGCUUAUCACACCCGAUCAUCACGUGGUGUCUGGGCACGAUGAACUUUGGCAACGGUGCAUACUCAGGGAGAACACUUCUUGAUAAUUUAGUGAGAGAUCAUCUUAUAAUGCUACCGUCAAUCAACGCAAGAUAAGAUGCAUAAAAAGAUAAACAUCACAUGCAAUCAAUAUAAGUGAUAUGAUAUGGCCAUCAUCAUCUUGUGCUUGUGAUCUCCAUCUCCUGAGCACCGUCAUGAUCACCAUCGUCACCGGCGCGACACCUUAAUCUCCGUCGUAGCAUCGUUGUCGUCUCGCCAAUCUUAUGCUUCCACGACUAUCGCUACCGCUUAGUGAUAAAGUAAAGCAUUACAUUGCGAUUGCAUUGCAUACAAUAAAGCGACAACCAUAUGGCUCCUGCCAGUUGCCGAUAACUCAGUUACAAAACAUGAUCAUCUCAUACAAUAAAAUUCAUCAUCAUGCCUUGACCAUAUCACAUCACAACAUGCCCUGCAAAAACAAGUUAGACGUCCUCUACUUUGUUGUUGCAAGUUUUACGUGGCUGCUACGGGCUUAAGCAAGAAUCAAUCUCACCUACGCAUCAAAACCACAACGAUAGUUUGUCAAAUAGACUCCAUUUUAACCUUCGCAAGGACCGGGCGUAGCCACACUUGGUUCAACUAAAGUUGGAGAGACUGUCGCCCGCAAGCCACCUAUGUGCAAAGCACGUCGGGAGAACCGGUCUCGCGUAAGCGUACGCGUAAUGUCGGUCCGGGUCGUCUCGUCCAACAAUACCGCCGAACCAAAGUAUGACAUGCUGGUAGGCAGUAUGACUUGUAUCGCCCACAACUCACUUGUGUUCUACUCGUGCAUAUAACAUCAAACCAUAAAACCUAGGCUCGGAUGCCACUGUUGGGGAACGCAGUAAUUUCAAAAAAAUUCCUACGCACACGCAAGAUCAUGGUGAUGCAUAGCAACGAGAGGGAAGAGUGUUGUCUACAUACCUACGCAGACCGACUGCGGAAGCGUUGACACAACGUAGAGGAAGUAGUCGUACGUCUUCCCGAUCCGACCGAUCCAAGCGCCGUUACUCCGGCACCUCCGAGUUCUUAGCACACGUACAGCUCGAUGACGAUCCCCGGGCUCCGAUCCAGCAAAGCGUCGGGGAGGAGUUCCGUCAGCACGACGGCGUGGUGACGAUCUUGAUGUUCUGCUGUCGCAGGGCUUCGCCUAAGCACCGCUACAAUAUGAUCGAGGUGGAAUAUGGUGGCAGGGGGCACCGCACACGGCUAAGGAACGAUCUCAAGGAUCAACUUGUGUGUCUAGGGGUGUCCUCUGCCUCCGUAUAUAAAGGAGCCAAGGGGAGGGGGCCGGCCGGCCAAGGAGGGCGCGCCAAGGGAGACCUACUCCCUCUGGGAGUAGGAUUCCUUCCCCCAAUCCUAGUUGGAGUAGGAUUCGCUGAGGGGGAAAGAGAGAGAGGGGGGCCGGCCACCUCUCCUUGUCCUAAUAGGACUAGGGGAGGGGGGAGGCAUGCGGCCCAUCUUGGGCUGCCCCUUCUCCUUUCCACUAAAGCCCAUUAAGGCCCAUACAGCUCCUGGGGGGUUCCGGUAACCUCCCGGUACUCCGGUAAAAUACCGAUUUCACCCGGAACACUUCCGAUAUCCAAACAUAGGCUUCCAAUAUAUCAAUCUUUAUGUCUCGACCAUUUCGAGACUCCUCGUCAUGUCCGUGAUCACAUCCGGGACUCCGAACUAACUUCGGUACAUCAAAAUGCAUAAACUCAUAAUAACUGUCAUCGUAACAUUAAGCGUGCGGACCCUACGGUUCGAGAAUAAUGCAGACAUGACUGAGACACAUCUCCGGUCAAUAACCAAUAGCGGGACCUGGAUGCCCAUAUUGGCUCCUACAUAUUCUACGAAGAUCUUUAUCGGUCAGACCGCAUAACAACAUACGUUGUUCCCUUUGUCACCGGUAUGUUACUUGCCCGAGAUUCGAUCGUCGGUAUCCAAUACCUAGUUCAAUCUCAUUACCGGCAAGUCUCUUUACUCGUUCCGUAAUACAUCAUCUCGCAACUAAAUCAUUGGCUGCAAUGCUUGCAAGGCUUAUGUGAUGUGCAUUACCGAGAGGGCCCAGAGAUACCUCUCCGACAAUCGGAGUGACAAAUCCUAAUCUCGAAAUACGCCAACCCAACAUCUACCUUUGGAGACACCUGUAGAGCUCCUUUAUAAUCACCCAGUUACGUUGUGACGUUUGGUAGCACACAAAGUGUUCCUCCGGUAAACGGGAGUUGCAUAAACUUAUAGUCAUAGGAACAUGUAUAAGUCAUGAAGAAAACAAUAGCAACAUACUAAACGAUCGGGUGCUAAGCUAAUGAAAUGGGUCAUGUCAAUCAGAUCAUUCAACUAAUGAUGUGACCUUGUUAAUCAAAUAACAACACCUUGUUCAUGGUUAGGAAACAUAACCAUCUUUGAUUAACGAGUUAGUCAAGUAGAGGCAUACUAGUGACACUAAGUUUGUCUAUGUAUUCACACAUGUAUUAUGUUUCCGGUUAAUACAAUUCUAGCAUGAAUAAUAAACAUUUAUCAUGAUAUAAGGAAAUAAAUAAUAACUUUAUUAUUGCCUCUAGGGCAUAUUUCCUUCAUCUUAGUAUGCCACAAUCAUCCUUGCUGUACACACCUUUUGAGAGAGCCAUACAUGAAUUAAAAUUUGAUUGAAUACUCUAUGUGCUCCACUUAUAUCUUUUGAGCUAAGUAGUUUUGCUCUAUGUGCUUCACUUAUAUCUUUUGAGCUAAGUAGUUUUGCUCUAUGUGCUUCACUUAGAUAUUUUAGAGCACGGUGGUGGAUUUGUUUUAAAGAAACUAUUGAUCUCUCAUGCUUCACUUAAACUAUUUUGAGAGUCUCUUAAUAGCAUGGUAAUUUGCUUAAUAAUAAUAUGCUUGGUAUUCAAGAUUUGUGAAACUUUCUUUUGAGUGUGUUGAAUACUAAGAAAAGAUUGAAGCAUGAUAAUUGUUUUGAGAUAUGGAGGUGAUAAUAUUAAAGUCAUGCUAGUUGAGUAGUUGUGAAUUUAAAGAAUACUUGUGUUAAAGUUUGUGAUUCCCAUAGCAUGCAUGUAUGGUGAAUCGUUAUGUGACGAAGUCGGAGCAUGAUUUAUUUAUUGAUUGUCUUCCUUAUGAGUGGCGGUCGGAGACGAGCGAUGGUCUUUUCCUACCAAUCUAUCCCCCUAGGAGCAUGCGCGUAAUACUUUGCUUUGAUAACUUCUAGAUUUUUGCAAUAAGUAUAUGAGUUCUUUAUGACUAAUGUUGAGUCCAUGGAUUAUACGCACUCUCACCCUUCCACCUUUGCUAGCCUCUCUAAUACCGCGCACUUUUCGCCGGUAUCAUACACCUACCAUAUACCUUCCUCAAAACAGCCACCAUACCUACCUAUUAUGGCAUUUCCAUAGCCAUUCCGAGAUAUAUUGCCAUGCAACUUUCCACCAUCUAGUUCAUCAUGACACAUUCAUCAUUGUCAUAUUGCUUAGCAUGAUCAUGUAGUUGACAUAGUAUUUGUGGCAAAGCCACCAUUCAUAAUUUCUUCAUACUUGUCACUCUUGAUUCAUUGCAUAUCACGGUACACCUCCAGAGGCAUCCAUAUAGAGUCAUACUUUGUUUUAGCAUCGAGUUGUAAUCAUUGAGUUGUAAAUAAAUAAAAGUGUGAUGAUCAUCAUUCAAUAAAGCAUUGUCCCAAUAAAAAAGAGAAAGGCCAAAGAAAAAAAGGCCCAAAAAAAGAAAAUAAAUAAAAAGGGGAAAUGCUACUAUCCUUUUUUCCACACUUGUGCUUCAAAGUAGCACCAUGAUAUAGCGAGUCUCAUAUAUUGUGCUUCAAAGUAGCACCAUGUUCUUCAUAUAGAGAGUCUCAUAUGUUGUCACUUUCAUAUACUAGUGGGAAUUUUACAUUAUAGAACUUGGCUUGUAUAUUCCAAUGAUGGGCUUCCUCAAAUUGCCCUAGGUCUUCGUGAGCAAGCAAGUUGGAUGCACACCCACUAGUUUCUUUUGUUGAGCUUUCAUACAUUUAUAGCUCUAGUGCAUCCGUUGCAUGGCAAUCCCUACUCACUCACAUUGAUAUCUAUUGAUGGGCAUCUCCAUAGCCUGUUGAUACGCCUAGUUGAUGUGAGACUAUCUUCCCCUCCUUUUUGUCUUCUCCACAACCACCAUUCUAUUCCACCUAUAGUGCUAUAUCCAUGGCUCACGCUCAUGUAUUGCGUGAAGAUCGAAAAAGUUCUGAAAAAGUUAGAGUAUGAAACAAUUGCUUGGCUUGUCAUCGGGGUUGUGCAUGAUUUAAAUACUUUGUGUGGUGAAGAUGGAGCAUAGCCAGACUAUAUGAUUUUGUAGGCAUAAUUUUCUUUGGCCAUGUUAUUUUGAGAAGACAUAAUUGCUUUGUAAGUAUGCUUGAAGUAUUAUUAUUUUCAUGUCAAUAUAAACUUUUGUCUUCAAUCUUUCUAAUCUGAAUAUUCAUACCACAAUUAAGAAGAUUUGCAUUGAAAAUAUGCCAAGUAGCACUCGCAUCAAAAAUUCUCUUUUUAUCAUUUACCUACUCGAGGACUAGCGGGAAUUAAGCUUGGGGAUGCCUGAUACGUCUCCAACGUAUCUAUAAUUUUUGAUUGCUCCAUGCUAUAGUAUCUACUGUUUUGGACUAUAUUGGGCUUUAUUUUCCACUUUUAUAUUAUUUUUGGGACUAACCUAUUAACCGGAGGCCCAGCCCAGAAUUGUUGUUUUUUGCCUAUUUCAGUGUUUCGGAUAAACAGAAUAUCAAACGGAGUCCAAACCGAAUAAAAUCUUCGGGAACGUGAUUUUCUCACCGAACGUGAUCCAGGAGACUUGGACCCUACUCCGGGGGGUCAAAGAGGAGGUCACGAGGGUGGGGGCGCCCCCCCCCCUAGGGCGUGCCCCCCUGCCUCGUGGGCCCCUUGGUGCUCCACCGACGUACUCCUUCCUCCUAUAUAUACACACAUACCCCCAAACGAUCAGAACAGGAGCCAAAAACCUAAUUCCACCGCCGCAACUUUUUGUAUCCACGAGAUCCCAUCUUGGGGCCUGUUCUGGAGCUCCGUCGGAAGAGGGCCGUCAUCACGGAGGGCUUCUACAUCAUCCUAGCCUCUCCGAUGAAGUGUGAGUAGUUUACCUCAAACCUUCGGGUCCAUAGUUAGUAGCUAGAUGGCUUCUUCUCUCUCUUUGAAUCUCAAUACAAAGUUCUCCCCCUCUCUUGUGGAGAUCUAUUCAAUGUAAUCUUCUUUUUGCGGUGUGUUUGUUGAGAUCGAUGAAUUGUGGGUUUAUGAUCAAGUCUAUCUAUGAAUAAUAUUUGAAUCUUCUCUGAAUUUUUUUUAUGUAUGAUUGGUUAUCUUUGCAAGUCUCUUCGAAUUAUCCGUUUGGUUUGGCCAACUAGAUUGGUAGUUCUUGCCAUGGGAGAAGUGCUUAGCUUUGGGUUCGAUCUUGCGGUGUCCUUACCCAGUGACAGAAGGGGCGGCAAGGCACGUAUUGUAUCGUUGCCAUCGAGGAUAACAAGAUGGGGUUUAUUUCAUAUUGCAUGAAUUUAUCUCUCUACAUCAUGUCAUCUUGCUUAAGGCGUUACUCUGUUUUUAACUUAAUACUCUAGAUGCAUGCUGGAUAGCGGUCGAUGAGUGGAGUAAUAGUAGUAGAUGCAGAAUCGUUUCGAUCUACUUGUCACGGACGUGAUGCCUAUAUACAUGAUCAUGCCUAGAUAUUCUCAUAACUAUGCUCAAUUCUGUCAAUUGCUCAACAGUAAUUUGUUCACCCACCGUAGAAUACUUAUGCUCUUGAGAGAAGCCACUAGUGAAACCUAUGGCCCCCGGGUCUAUUCUCAUCAUAUCAAUCUCCAUCACUUUAAUCUUGCUUUGCUUUUUACUUUGAUUUUACUUUUUACUUUGCAUCUUUAUACCAAAAAUAUUAUAUCUAUCAGAUCUCACUCUCGUAAGUGACCGUGAAGGGAUUGACAACCCCUAAUCGCGUUGGUUGCGAGUAGAUAUCGCUUUGUGCAGGUACGAGGGACUUGAGCGUGGCCUCCUACUGGAUUGAUACCUUGGUUCUAAAAAACUGAGGGAAAUACUUAUGCUACUCUGCUGCAUCAUCCCUUCCUCUUCCAGGAAAACCAAGGCAAGCUCAAGACGUAGCAAGCACUCAUUACUACUCUUGCUCUCUCCCAUCUCCUUUAUAUUUCAAUAAGCUCUGACUCCCUCAGCCACAACACAACUCAUUUGCCUUCUCCGUCGCUUGCUUCUAGGGUUCGUGCUUCUUCUCCGUCUCCUACUUCCAGGGUUCGUGCUUCUAACCCGCACACAAUCGAUUAAUUUCUAAGCCAUACUUCUCUCAUAGGUUGCUGGCCGUGGGUGCUUGCCCUAAGCUUCCCAUCACAAGCCAUCUGCCUUAUCCGUCCGCCUACUUUUAAGGUUCGUGCUUUUUCCCCGCACACAGUCUCAUUUCAAACAAGUUAUUGAAGAGUUUUUAUUGGGUCUCUUGAUUAACUUCCAAGCCGUGCUUCUCUCGUAGAUUUUGCUAGCCGUGUGCGCUUGCCCUAAGCUUCCCCUACCCAAAUCUCCGUUCGUCAACCCUCGUUCUUCUUCUGUCCCAGGUAAAAAGCAUAUGCGUAAGCAGCAUGCUCCGAUCCGUAUUUACGUUUUAUGUUUAGGUUUUUCAUUUGAUAGUUAUUGAAGCAUCAGAUCCGAUACAACGACUUCAUUCUCUAACGGAAUAUAAAAACCAUUUGAAAAUCUAAACAAGUGUUAUAAACUCUGUCAUACUGCUUUUCUCGAAGGAGUAGAUGAGAAGAUUUAUGGUAAAUUUGUAGCUGUUGCCCGCCUUCAAUAUAGCUACCAUAUUUGAAGCUAGCCGUUGUCUACCUUCCAUGUUGAAGCUUGUUUUUAAAUUGUUAUGAUAUUCUUGUUUUCUUAACAUAGCUUUUCUGAAAUAUUUAGGUAUGAAAUGCCCUGCCUGCCGCCAACCAGGCGGCCCUUGUGAACCACACCCUGAAGUUAUCCAGGAGUUUGAGGUUAUUCUUGAUGAAAAUUGCUGGAGCCGCAUGGUUAGUAAGCAUCACUAACAAAUUAGUUGCUUACAACACAGUAAAAAUCGUCACUAUCACUCAUACCCCCAUGCACCUACACUAGGUCCCCCUGCUGCCACUUCUUCGCACAUGCCUUGUGUUUUCAAUUUCCAUUAGUUUGCUUGCCUAUGCCUUGAUUAAUAUAGUCCAUUAAUUUAUAAUACAAUUAUGUUGUUAUCUAUAAUUCUUAUCAAAAAUUCAUAUCAAAUUUAAGAAAAUUUUUAACAUUAACAGUAUGCAAGUUCAAAUUUAUACUUACAGGUUGUUAUUUGCACUACUUUUUCCAGUAUGUACCCUGUAAUGUCAGAGCUUUUCCCGUUGAAUACAUUGAAGAAGAGAAGAAAGAAGCAAGAAAAUUGCGUAAACAGCAGGUAGAGCCAGCCCUUCUUACACAUGAAGGAAGGUCUUACAAUGCUUUGUUUAAGCAUAGGGCAAACUACACAAAGUUCUGCGGUGGUGAGUGGAACAUCUUUGCGGCUGAUUAUGAACUUCGUGCUGGAGACCGCAUAGAAUUUGAACUACCAGACGAGGGUCUCAAUCUCGAAAUACAAACAUAUUGAGAUAACAAAAGGCUGCUUCCAUUACCCCAUGUUGGUAGGUAUUUAAUAUUACAAACAUUACAGACUUAUCUUCUUUCGCUGUAAUUUUAUAUGCAUGAAUCGAACUGAAUAAUAUUAACCCCAUGUUGGAUGUAACUUUAUCUAACUUUAAAAGCCUUUUCUUUUUCUAGCUCUCGACGAUCUUUCUUCUGAUGAUUUCGACCAUGUUCACUGCUUUGUCUACUCUAAGGAUAUUGAGCUCACCUACGACCAGACAUGAUUCUUUCUACAACGCCUUUUCGGAGAUACUUUCAUCCGUUGCCGUCCAUUUGUCCAUGUCCUAACUCACACUAACACCAAAGACUACGUCAUGGUUGGUUACAACUGUCCUUAUUAAAAUACCAAAAGUAUUUUGCUCAUAUGCAAUAUAAACAAUACCGACGUAAUAUUGCUUAUAUGUAAAAUUAUAAAAAACCUAUUUAUUCAAACCUAAAACAACAAAACUUCCGUUGUUCUCUUAAUAUGUUGUUUUAUUUGUUUACACACAAACCUGAACAUGCCAGGAACUAUAUUACUUCGAAUAUGGAAUUUCUUAAUGUUUGUGCACUCACCAUAUUCAGACAUCCUUUUAUUUAUUGCCCAAGUGACAAAUCAACGGUUUUAAUUUCGAUUUUCUUCUAGAAAAUUCCGAGGAGCGUUGUCUCAACACUGAAGAGAUGGAUGGACAUGCCAACCAAUGGCAGGGUAACCCUUGAAGCUCCUGGUGAACAUACACAUGUCAUCACUCCUUCAUCGUACUACAUCUCCAAAACUAACGGCAGGAUGGUAAUACAAAAGUCUUCUUUCAGAGACUUCAUAUCAGCUGCAUCCUUCGUUGAAAAGAACGUUGUUCUAAUCACUUUCAAAGAGUGAAAUGACCAUUCUGUGUCCAUCAUCGUUCAGCGCAUCAUGUAGAUUCUGUCGGAACCAGCACCUAAAAUGGAAGCAAACAUUGCAUCUCCUAGAAUGUUCAACGCUCGUUUCAUCAUGAUGCCUCCAGGAGCAAAACACUGAUUACUAUAAGUUUGCUAGAUAGGAUGGUAGAGUAAUUUAACUAUUAUGGACCAUGUGCUUGCUUGAACUAUAGGAAUAUUCUUUUGCAACUUAUGUAGCUCUUACAGACACUCAACUUGUUGUUUCAACCAUCGGAAUGAUCCUUUAAAACAAAUGUUGUUUGAACCAUCGAAAUGAUUCAAUCGAAAAAAUGUAGUUCUUAUCCUUUGAACAUUUCACAAUUCAAAAAACCAAAAAACAAAAAGUUUCAUUUUCAAAAAUGAAACGAAACAAGAAUCAGUUUGUGAUUCAAAACCUCUAGCAAUACGAUGUUAUCAAACUUAUUCAAACCAUCUAGUGAAACAUAUCUCAAUUAAAAACCAAACAGGACUACGUUUUCAAGUCCAAACUAUAUUUAGUUCAACUUUUCCUAAACACACUUGUACACCGAAUAACAUAAAAACCGUGCCUCCCUAACCAAGGAAGAUUAUUAACUGAAAAAAACGUUUCACAACAAAGGCACGACCAUGCAUCUGCUGAAUGUUCUAACGUUUACACGACUACUAUCACGGCCAAAGAUGCAUCACGCAGGCAGCACGCAACGAAUAAAAAAAAUCAAUGAACAAAGACAAGUGAAAAUCUUAAAAAAAACAGAUAAAAAAACCCUUGGUUCCGAAAUUCUACGCCUAGAACCGCCGCGUGACUAGCAACUGCUCUUUGGCGGUUUCCUUUUUUGCAUGACAAAACAACCCUUUCACUUUUCCGACUCCAUUUCAUCCUCUUCCUCGAAAGUUUCUCGCCGGCCACGGUUCACCACCGCACACCUCCAGCCAUGGACGACGGGAAACUAACAACAUUCACUGAACACAUCACUACCCACGGUACAACCAUGCUCGAGGUGGUGUACACCAACGACCCAAGGACCAUGGAGCGGAUCAUCAACAAGUAUGAAGAACGGCUAAAGGAGGAGAAGAACAAGCUCGUCGGCCUCGACCUCGAGUACACACGUAAGAGCAGUUACAUACGACAAGGGAUCACCGUCGUCCAACUUUCCAUGCGCGAGCAUGUCCUUGUAUACCACUACUAUAGGUCCGAGCGCUCCCAGGCGUUAGUUGACUUCCUGCAACGGAAAGCGGUAACUUUCACUAGCGUCGACACCAGGAACGACAAGACCAUGCUUGCCCGUGCAUGCAUCAGAAUUCCAGACGAGCACCAUGUCGACAUCCAGAGGCUAUUCUGCAUCAAGGGUGGUGGAGAAAGGGACUCCAUGGCUGACCUUGCAGUGGCCAUCAUCGACCCCUCAUACAAGAACAUGAAGAAAUCAUUCCCAAAGGAGAAGCACCAGUUCUGGGAGUGGAAGCCACUUUCCCCGAUACACCUUGAGUACGCGGCAAAGGACGGGUAUGUUAGCUACGAGUUGUACCAUAGAAUCCUAAUCAUCAAGAACGGGCUACGUCAUCUCCACCAACAACCAAUGAAAGAAAGACUCCGCCCACGUAAGAGCAAUGACGAGGGAUCUUCCAGCAGCUAGAAGCGCCGGAAGGGAAACAGUGGUUGGUAAAUUGUGAGAAAAUGGAUGUCUACAUUAAACUAGUAGGAACUACUAUUAUCAUAAUUUGGAUUGCAUGAACCUAUGUUGUAAAUAUGUUUGUUGUUGCUCAAAGAUGUUGUGUGUAUUGUAUUACUAUUUUACGUUUGAACUUUGAACACAGUGGUGUGCUCAUGUACUAAUUUGGAUUGUAUGAACCUAUGUUGUAAAUAUGUUUGUUGUUGCUCAAAGAUGAUAUGUGUAUUGUAUUACUAUUUUACAUUUGAACUUUGAACAUAGUGGUGUGCUCAUGUACAAAUGCAUACUAUGUUUUGCAUGUCUAAAUGCAAUUAGUAAGUUAUAUCUAAAUGCAAUUAGUAACUUAUGUCCCAGUACUGAGCAAGCAUAUAUUGUAUCCAUGAUUAUAGAACGAGAGAUAUCUCACACGAUAUUGUAUUAUAAUUUUCAUACUCAACCUUUACAAGAUGCAUCGUGCAUUUACAAGAAUAUGUGAUGAUAUCGUUGUAAACUCUCAGUACAAUGCUUAUUAAACAUUGGCGUGAGCAAUUCAUAAAUAUUGCAGAAGAUCAUUCGGUACACAGUCACAAGCGACGAGAACUUUGUUACCUUAACCACAUUGAAAAAAAUCCUCGCCUCCAUUUCACAUCAAACACCGCUCUGUCCAUUUAGAACAUCCUUGUUAUUGUACACAGGUUCCUCUCCGUACACCAGUUCUGCACGAUGCCACAAAACUACACUACUGUGUGCAACUGACCUAUUUACAAGAGUGACUCACUAAGUGUCUACUCAAUCCAUGCAUGUGGUGCCACGCACCCGUGACCCUAGAGACUACACACAUGUGCAUCAUUAACCGAGCCCCUCUAACCAGAUAUUCGGACAGAUGCCUCUACUGUCGUACAUCUGUGCCUCUAGAAUCUUGACACCAGCAAGUGGGUUCAAAACCGUGCCUCCAGACAACCGUGCUUGUACUGACUGCGGUGCCUCUGUUUGCUUGAUCAACGUGCCCCACUUGAAACCCAAAGUAACUCUACGUGCUCCGCACGCAUGAUCGUCAAUGCAACUUUGGUGCUCCACAGAUGCGUCUCUCACUAUACCCGUACCUCCACAACCGUGCUUGUACUGACUAUAAUUCCAUGCCUCCGUUUUGCUCAAUCCACGUGCCUCACAUAAAACCAACAAUAACUCUACGUCCUACACACACGUGCCUCUCGCAUCAAACUCAUAGUAUCUCGCCCGUACAGCUUUGGCGCUGCACACACGUAGCUCAGUAUACCCGUGCCUCCUCACGACCAUACCUGCACUGACUUCAAUUAUGUGCCUUCAUUUGCUUAAUCCACGUGCCUCACAUAAAAGAGAUACACAGCCGUGCCUCAAAGUAAACAACACACGUGUCUCUACUGUAUUCAAAACUAUAACCCCAAUUAAAUAAUAUCCGUCCAAAAGAACAUCUUUAAAAGAGAUGCACAGCCAUACCUCUUCUACAAACAUACAACAGCAAUGAACACUUAGGUUCUUAGGUUCAUAUCGUUUCAUAUAUCAAGACAACAUUAAGCCAUAGCAUAGAUUUUUAAACAAAAUCCAUUUAUGUUCAAAGGCUAUAACUAACAUCACUGCGGCAGAAGAUUGAAGAUAACAACAAGCCUCCCAUCACGCUCUUUGAAAGUUAUCAGCACCAAGCUGUUUACUUCAAUAGACGAUGCCUGGAGAAAAUCACUGAAACCUUCCUGUUUGAACACCAUUCUACUACCCAAGCCAAUGAAGUAGGAGCAAGGAGUGCUCACAUAUAUAUCAUCAUCACCAGAUUCCAAAGUAACUUCAAGGGUUAAAACGCCAGUCCUAGGAAAAGUCACAAACUCCUCCAAACUCCUCACAACAAUACCAGGAAUAACCUGACAAAAACAUCAAGCUAUCAGAAAUAGAACAAAAAUUAAAAACUAUAAAUAGAAGAGAUAAUAAAAAUAAAUAAAUAAACAGGAACAAAGAAAAAACAGUGGAACAAAAUCUGACCAUAUGAUAACCAUUAACAUUCAUGGAAUCAAUCCUGUGAACAAAAGGACAAUAGGUAUGUAGACAUCAUCAAAGAGUUGACACCUCAUGAAAUACAUCUACUGAUAAUUAAGAAAAACACCACGGGUGUAAUAACAACUCCCAACAAGUUCCAUCUCGAAGUCGCUCAAACCAUCAAGAGCUACAAAAUAUAAUUACACAGGCUCAAGGGAACAGAAAAAUCAUCAUGUGCAAUAAAACAAGCUAAAAACUUCCUUAAAAAUAAACCUUACCAACAGAAGAUAAAGGAGACAACGCAUCUCCACGACCAACACGAGAAAAAUCAAUACCAAUCCAUGUUCCAUAGUGUUCAAGCCUAAUGGUCAUUAUAUCACGAGGACGAACACCAUAAUCACUGACCAAUCGUUCCCAGGAAGGACCAUGGAAUUUACUCCUCAACUGACCAUGACUAAACAAAACACCAUACAAAUAACCCUCAUUGCACUGAAAAGCAAGAUCAGUAUCUUCGUCACCCCUCCUUAUGGCUAAAGCCCUGCACUCCUCGAUGUAACGAGCAAGAUGAGCUCUAACACUGCACGGAACAUACUGCAGAACAAAUCAAAACAAGGAUCAUAAUCAAAACCUAGAUAGCAUGAGCAGCACCAAAAGAAAUAAACGUGUGUGCCAAAAAUUGAACAAUUAUAAAAUGGUAUUCUUACAACACGCCUCCAACAACGCCGAUCCAGGACCACACUGAACCCAUCUACAGAAGAAUCAACAGAAGAACACAGGCCACCAGGCAUACGGCAAAAAGGACAAGCCAUAACUGCAAGGAACACAAUGAUUAUCAAGAACUAAUCACACAAAACCCAGUUGAAACUUGACAUCUGAUAGUAUUGGUAGUCUCCACCCGUAACUACCCCAUAAAUCUCCAUAUCCCGGAAAUAUAAUGGGAACAAAAAGAGAAACAUUAAAGGGAAACAGGAAACCCACGAAGGCAACCAGUAGGGAACGGCGAUCACGCGAACGGGGAAGCGCGGUCGACGCUAAAGAAGGACCGCCGUAAAACCAGGCAACAAGCGCGGCGGCCGGGACAGGAGCCGCCAUAACCACGCGACAAGAGCGGCGGCCACGACGGACGAAGACGACGGCAAAGAAAGAACAGUCUCACAAGUGUCGCGCGCGGAGCGCCUCGAAAAUGUCUCCCGACCAUGACGGUUUGCCCACACCAGAGAGAAAACAGAUCUCAAAACAGAUCAAAAGGUUUUACAAAACAUUAAAAGUAUAAGAACUAAAGUGAAAAAAGAGAAAAACCGAAAAGGGAAACCAGAAACCGAAAAACACGGGAGACGCCGUGCGCGCGACAAGUGUCGCGCGCGGAGCGCCUCGGAAAAGUCUCCCGACCGCUCCGCGCGUGACACUUGGCGCGCGCGGAGCGCUCCCCGACUAAUCGUUGCGAGGAGCGCUCCUCAAUUAGUGAUUUCGAAAAAAGGUAUAUGCAGGCCGGCGCGGGCAAGCCCGUAUAAUCAACCUGUAAAAAAUCUCUAAAUAUACCAAACAGACUCAGAGCUAACUCUUUUUUUUUAUUGUCCUUUUCCUCGCGUUAAUCCAGCGAACAGGUGAACAAGGAAAAACGCGAGGCGAGCGCGGCGCGGGCGGAGGCCAGGACGGCCAGGGCGAGCGCGGCGCGCGCGGAGGCCAGGGCUGCCGGGACGGCGCGAACGGCGGCCGGAUCCAACGGCCGGCGCAUCGAGCUAGCUAGCUCGCUCCGUUGGAGAGCCACGGGCGAACGCGAUGGCCGGGACGGAAGGCCGGCCGGCUAUCGGAUGACGGCGGGUAAGUGCGGUGGCCGGGGCAGACGAGCGCAGCGGGCAGGCGGCCGGGCGCGGCGGCCGGACGAGCUUCAUGGCAUUCGCAGGAGCAAAGAUUCCUCAACCGGCAAUGUUGACCGAUAUGCAGGGUCUUGUCAAAGUUGUCUUUAAAACUAUAUAUAUGAGGGUUUCGCAUUCGCGUUUACUAGACUUCUUAAAAAAAAUUAUGGGUCGAACGAUUUUGCUGGGUCUGUUCGGGCUCGUUUUUUCGACUGAAACCGCAAAAAACGGUUAUUUUGCGAGUUUGACUAUUUAUACGGGGUCUGCUAGAGAUGCUCUUACUACCUCUAAAAUAGAUGGCUCAACUUUGUAUUAACUUUGAAUGGGAGGGAGUAGAUGUGAGGUACGAUGUAGUAACAUAGUCGGACCCAAACAUAAUUAUACUUCUAACAGCGCUGAGCAUCCGCUGAAUCCUCUGGAUUUGUUUCGAACGACCCGGCCUCCUAGCUUCAUAUCUUGAGAAUUUAUCGCUGAACAGCGGAAGAUUGCACACAUUGCCACUCAGCAUGAUACUUUUGUUACUACCACAAGAGAGGAGAGUGCACCAGUUCCAGAAUCCAGCGUUUAGCCGGAUCAUCAUCAUCAGUACAUAAAUAUGGCUAGAGCCGAAUAGAUUCCAUACAUGAAUGAAGAUACCUAUAUCUGCUCAAUCGUGUGCCCACAGAAGUGGCCGAGUGGGUAAGGUACGGCCAUCAGAAAUCCAAACCGUAGUUCAGUGCAAUUACAAGGGAUGAAACAACCAAUUACACGUGACACACCUCAGGUAAACUUCAACAGGAAAAGAAAAAUCCAAGGCUUGCUCACACCUCUACCGGUACCCUACAGGUCAUCUGGCGCCUUUUCAC